UUUUAUUUUUCAAAAUUUGAAAUCUUAUCCUCAAAACCUCAUUUCUCAACUCUAAACCCUAAACCCUAAACUCUAAACCAUAAACUCUAAACCCUAAACUCUAAACCAUAAACCCUAAACUCUAAACCCUAAACCCUAAAUCCUAAACCCCACCCUUUAACUCUAAACCUUAAGUUUGUGACUUUCGAUAAAACAUUAAGUGCUAUUUUUGUGACUUUUGACCUUGAGUGCUAGUUUGAGAACAUAAACUUGAUUUAGUGUUAUUUUUGUCUUUUUCUCUUAAUGAUAUUGUUAAGAUAAUAUAAUUAAUAAAAAAUUAAACUAAGUGAAGUAUGGAAAGAUAAUUAUUGUAAUUAUAUUAAUAAAAUUACUAAAAAUACUUGUUAUCCUUGUUUUUAAAUAGUACGAAAAAGUAAUUUAAUUUUAAUAAUAUAGACUUAACCUUUCAUCAAUCAAAAAGCUCACAUCGGCAUAAAUAGGCCUAUUUUAGGACAAUAUCUUAUUAUGAAGAAAAUGAGCCUUUGGGCCUGUAUCUUUCUUGUGACAUGGGUGAAUGACCUUUGAUGGAGAUUUGAGUUCGAGAUCAUCGAUUGUGGCUGGCGAUGGAGAAUCAUCGCAGGCGAAGCUUGCUUGAUGAUGAUGGUGAAAUUGGAUUACAGUAGAGAGACGGAAGAAGAAUGCCGAAGUGAAGCAGUGCCGAUGAGAGCAAGCUCUUCUUGAGGCUCAGCUUUGGAGUCAGCGACGGUUGAUGAUAAAGAGAUUAUCUCAAAAUGUCAAUAAAAUUUCAAGAACUGAGACCUGAGUCAAUGACCUACCAGGAAAGAUUCUUAGGUAUCUUAUUGGUCUUGACGAAUGCAUUAUUAUACUCUUUAUCUCUCUCUCUCUCUCUCAUUGAAAAUGUCAAACUUGUUGAUCUAAGUUGUCACCAACCAACAAAGAGACAGACGACUUAUAUACACGCCAACGAGCUUGUUGAUCCCUUCUCAGCUAUCAGCAGCCAUUUUUUUUAAAAUAACAAAAAUCAUAUUAUCUAACAAUGAUUAAUCUUUACUACCUCAAACCAAUGAAAACAAAUUUUAAACUAUAUAGUUUAUUUUAAAAAUUAAACAAAAACUAAAUGUUUAAUUAUUUACUCGAUAAUAUAAAUCUAUGAAGCGAAAAGUUUAAUUUUUAAAAAACUUUAUAAAUUUGUGAAAUUUUACAAUAUCUUUGAAUAUGACAAUAAAACAAUAAUGAAAUAAUAAUCCGAAAAUAUAUAUAUAGGAGAAGAUACAAAUACAUGUGAAAGUUUGAAACAAUAUAUUCAAUGAAAAAAAUAUACAAUAAAAUUAUUAUGUUUUAAAACUUGAUAGACACAUAUAUAUAAUAUAUACCAAUUUAAAAUUGAAAACAAAAUAUUUAUAUAAAAAUAAAUGAAUACAAAAACCCGCACGGUUGCGUGGAUUGAGAUCUAGUGAAAAGUUAAAAUUAAAGUUUGAGCCGGCGGCUAUUUCAACCAUUUGCUCCUUCAACGCACCUCCUUGUUUCUCUUAUUUGCUGUUCUUUGGAGAUCUGUAAUUGUUUCUCCAGCACCACUAUCCACUAAUCCAACUACUCCAACUUCUACAAUACAUCACAUGCUUAAUCAUCUGAUAGGCAAAGAGAUAUGGUUUCGUAUCCCCUAAAUAACAAAAAUCAUAUUAUCUAACAAUGAUUAAUAUUUACUACCUUAAACCAGUGAAAACAAAUCUUAAACUGAGAAUUUUUUAUGUGGUUUACAUAUAUGUUCCACCAUUGAGUUUCUUUUCGGCAAAGAGGUCUCUUGCCUUAGCUUGAUAUGCAUAAAUAGGCCGCUAAAAACAAGGAGAGCAAUGUAAUACCAUUCAUUUUAUUGAGCUUAUUUUGGCUAUAUAAAAUUUCAAAGUUAGUUAUUCAGUAAAAUAAUAAUUUCACGAUAUUACCUAGGCCUGAGAUUUAUUAUCUGAGAUCCGGAUUCGAUCCGGAUAGUAAAAUCUUGGAUCUGUCCAAACCGAAUCCGGAUCCGGAUAUCUUAAUUUUUAGGUCCGGAUAUCCGGAUCCGCAUCCAUAUUUUUAAAACACAUUAAAUUUUUAAAUUUCAUUAAUAUUAAUAUUUGAUAUAUUAAUAUUUAUACAUGAUUUAAUCUUAUAAUAUAAUAUUUUGUUUUUACAAUGAAUAUUAUACAUGAAUUAAUCUUAUAAUAUUAUAAUAUUUAUACAUGAAUAAAUCUUAUAUUAAUAUUUAUACAUGAAUUAAUCUUAUAAUAUUAUAAACAUAUAUAAAUAUAUUUAUAAAUCUUGUAUAAAUAUUUAAUUUAUGUAUUAUAUUAAAAAAUUAGUAAAACAACCCAAACCGAACGUUUAACCAUAAGCAAAAACCAGUUAUUUUUAUUUUUUAUUUUAUAAUUGGCACAAAUUUAAUGUUGAUUAACUAAUAAUACAAAUUUGCACUAUCUUUAUUAUGAUAAUAAAAUUAAUGAUGUGAUGUAUUUUUAAGAUUACGUAAUUAAUAAAAUUGUUCAACUGAGUGAAAUAUGAAAAGAAAAUUAAUGUAAUUAUAUUAAUGAAAUUACUAAAAAGAUAAUAUACUUCUUCUUUUAUACUACUAUUCAUAUUUCCAAGCAUUUCUUAUUUUACUGCUAUCAUCCAUGUUUCCAAAAAAUACAGAAAGGUACUUCAGUUUUAUAUUUUUAUUAUUUUGAUUUAAGUUAUUAUUUGAUUCACAAAACAUGUCUGUAAAUAAAAAUAUGCAUUAUUAUUAUCAUGUUAAUAUAAUUAAUGAUGUGAUGUAUUUUUAAUGUAAUAUAAUUAAUGAAACUGUUAACCUGAAUGAAACAUAAAAAUACAAUUAAUUAUAUUAAUGAAAUUAUAAAAAAAACACUAUACUUCUUUUUAUACUGCUAUGGGGCUGUUUGUUUGCUCACCCAGGUGAUCCAUCUGGGUGAAGAUGCAAAUCAAUAUUCGUUUUGUACAUUAUAAUGCUACAUCUAUAUGGAUCACCUAGCUUAAUUUUUAAAAACUCAUCUCAAAUUCUCAUCCAAAUAAAGACGAGCCUUGAUGCUGCAUCUGGAUGCAUAUGCAUCUAGUUCACUGCAAAAUGAUAAAUGACAAAAAUAACUUUUUAAAAUCAAAAUAUUAUUUUCAAACCAAAAAUUCUAUUUUUUUUUUUGCAUGAACAUUUUUCCGCCAGAACCGAAAAAUGUAUUUUCCCGCCAAAACUGAAAAACACAUUUUUCCGCUAAAACCGAUAAUGUGUUUCCGCAAAAAAUGUAAAACGCACAUUUCCAUAAAAACACAUUUUUCGGCCAAACCAGUAAAACCAUACUUUUAGGCCAAAACGGUAAAAACGCACUUUCCCGUCAAAACCGUAAACUGGCAUUUUCCCGCAAAAACCGGAACACACAUUUUCCCGCCAAAAUCGCAAAAACGCAUUUCCCGCCAAAACCGGAAAAAACUGCAUUUUUCCUGCCAAAACCCCAAAAAUGCAUUUUCCGCCAAAACCGCAAAAACGUAUUUUCCGUCAAAACCGGAAAAAACUGCAUUUUCCCGCUAAAACCGAAAAACGCAUUGUCCCGCCAAAACUGAAAAAGUAGUUUUAAUAUGUUUCCAAACAAUUAUCAUUUAUAUUUCUAUUCAUAUUUUCAAACAGUAUCAAAAAAUACUUCAGUUUUAAUAAAACCCAAUUAUUUUACACUCUUGAUUUUAUAACUGGAACAAAGUUAAUGUUGAUUAACUAAUAAAUAAAAAUCUGCACUAUCUUUAUUAUGAUAAUAUAAUUAAUGAUAGGGCAAAUCUCCAAAAUAGCACGUUUCUAAGUUUAUAUCACAAAAAUAGCACUCAAAAACUAAAAUGACCCAAAUAGCAUCUUUCUAAGUUUAUCCUUUGAAAAUUUUAAUUUUUUUAUUUUUCAAAAUUUGAAAUCUUAUCCUCAAAACCUCAUUUCUCAACUCUAAACCCUAAACCCUAAACUCUAAACCAUAAACUCUAAACCCUAAACUCUAAACCAUAAACCCUAAACUCUAAACCCUAAACCCUAAACCCUAAAUCCUAAACCCUAAACUCUAAACCCUAAACCCUAAAUCCUAAACCCCACCCUUUAACUCUAAACCUUAAGUUUGUGACUUUCGAUAAAACAUUAAGUGCUAUUUUUGUGACUUUUGACCUUGAGUGCUAGUUUGAGAACAUAAACUUGAUUUAGUGUUAUUUUUGUCUUUUUCUCUUAAUGAUAUUGUUAAGAUAAUAUAAUUAAUAAAAAAUUAAACUAAGUGAAGUAUGGAAAGAUAAUUAUUGUAAUUAUAUUAAUAAAAUUACUAAAAAUACUUGUUAUCCUUGUUUUUAAAUAGUACGAAAAAGUAAUUUAAUUUUAAUAAUAUAGACUUAACCUUUCAUCAAUCAAAAAGCUCACAUCGGCAUAAAUAGGCCUAUUUUAGGACAAUAUCUUAUUAUGAAGAAAAUGAGCCUUUGGGCCUGUAUAUUUCUUGUGACAUGGGUGAAUGACCUUUGAUGGAGAUUUGAGUUCGAGAUCAUCGAUUGUGGCUUACGAUGGAGAAUCAUCGCAGGCGAAGCUUGCUUGAUGAUGAUGGUGAAAUUGGAUUACAGUAGAGAGACGGAAGAAGAAUGCCGAAGUGAAGCAGUGCCGAUGAGAGCAAGCUCUUCUUGAGGCUCAGCUUUGGAGUCAGCGACGGUUGAUGAUAAAGAGAUUAUCUCAAAAUGUCAAUAAAAUUUCAAGAACUGAGACCUGAGUCAAUGACCUACCAGGAAAGAUUCUUAGGUAUCUUAUUGGUCUUGACGAAUGCAUUAUUAUACUCUUUAUCUCUCUCUCUCUCUCUCAUUGAAAAUGUCAAACUUGUUGAUCUAAGUUGUCACCAACCAACAAAGAGACAGACGACUUAUAUACACGCCAACGAGCUUGUUGAUCCCUUCUCAGCUAUCAGCAGCCAACUACAGCUCUAGAUCGUGGUGAAAUUGAAUAACUUUUUUUUUAUGGAACAAGUCGUAGUGUGAAGCUUCCUUUUUUACACGCAAUCUAGACACAACUCCAUAAAAGAGUAAAACUUUCCUUCUCUCUCGAAAGUCAAAGCUGUUCAUUUGAUGCGUUGAUCGGCAAACUUGUGUUCGAUUCUUGAUUUCUCUUCUCAAUGCCUGUUGAUAUUCAAAAGUAGCUAAGCAUAUUUUUAUGUGUUUGUGGUAGGCAUGGAAACAGUGAGUUGGAAGGAGAGAUGAUGAUGCAGUGUUUAGAUGCAUUAAAGCACUUCUCCAUAUUUCUCUUGACUUGUUGUGAUUCUGAUCGUCAUCAACACUCCGGGGGUCUUCCCAACCCUAAGGAUCUGGCUAGAGGCACUGUCUGUAUGUAUUCUUCUCCUCCACCUUUUUUUUUCCCUUUUUAACUUCGCAACUUAAGUCAUAUUCAUAUACCAAUUGCAGUUACUGUGAAUGAGAUUGAAGCUCUUUACGAAAUGUUCAAGAGCAUCAGCAAAGCCGGCCUUAUCGACAAGGUAUGCCAUAAACCAUCCUCACUUUCUUCGUCCUAUACAGUAUACACUCUCAAUUAGGAUCCUUUCAAAUUAUGCAGGAACAGUUUCAGUUGGUACUCUUUAAAUCCAACAGAAAGAAGAGCCUUUUUGCUGACAGGGUAAAAAAAAACUUCUUAACUCCCCACAUCUAGGUUUCCUUGCCGUGAACUCAUAUUCAAGACUUUGCAGGUGUUUGACUUGUUUGACACCAAGCAUACUGGAAUCCUUGAUUUUGAAACCUUUGCACGUGCCAUUUCGGUUUUCCACCCCAAGGCUCGAAUGGAGGAUAAGCUCGAGUGUAAGUAGUAGAAGAGAUCUACCAUUUUCCCUUGAUAUUCAACCUUGUCACAGCUCUUUGAUAUGAUCUCUUUGUGCCUCUACAGUUGCUUUCAAGCUGUAUGAUCUGAAGCACCAGGGGUUUAUAGAGAGACAAGAGGUAUGUAUAUACAGUUGGUGUUAUUCUUAGGUAAGUGUUUGUGUGUUUCGUUUCUCUGAUCCUCUAUUUGAUGUGAAGUUGAGGCAAAUGAUGGUGGCGACUCUAGCUGAAUCUGGCAUGAAUCUUUCUGAUGGCGUGAUAGAGAUCAUCAUAGACAAGGUGGGCUUUGAUUAAAUUGAUAUCCAAUGACCAUUGAAUAGGCUUUUCUCAUCGUUAUUCUUUGACAUGAGGUAUUAAAAAAAAAACUGAUUGGUGUGUGUGUAGACAUUUGAAGAAGCUGAUAGUAAAAUGGACGGGAAGAUUGAUAAGGAAGAGUGGCAGAGUCUUGUUCUUCGUCACCCCUCUUUGUUGCAGAACAUGACCCUUCAGCAUCUCAAGUAAGCCAUGCCUCUCUUUCUAUGCCUUCAUCUCUUUUGUUAUCUUCUUCGGUGGGGGCUUACACAGUUCUUCCAUGUUUGUGUAUGUGCAGAGACAUAACAAAGACGUUUCCGAACUUUGUGUUUUACACCAUAGUGACUGACAACCCAUCAUCUGGAUGAUCAUGAGGGAUGUGAUUUUGGAUUUUUGUUGGUGCAAGUUGAUUCUUUUCUUUUUUUUUGGCAAAAGAGAUGGUACAAUAUUGUAUUUUGAAAACUUGUUUCUUACUUAACUUCGACUCUAAUUCUAUUUGUAUCUGAAACCUGGCCUUUCUGAUUUAUUUUAAAGCAAUUUUCAAAUUGACAAACCUUGGAACCAAAAUUAAAUAGAAAUUAGAACUUAACCGGUUGCCAAAAUUAAUUAGAAAUUAGUUGGUUUGCUAAAAAAAAAUAUGAGAUUUUCAUCAUGGUUGAUGUUAUUAUUAUUUUUUAAUCACAAUGAUAUACCCUCUUUGUUUGAUGUAUGGCACUUUGUUUAGACCAAGUAAAGGUGUGCUGCGGUUGAGAAAGUUGCAUGAAACUGAACAAUAUGUGUGUUGAUUGGCAAGUGUUAAAGGAUAAGACUUGUGCUUUUCCUCUUCAGUAGAAUGGAGUGUAAUGAACAAUACUGGAACCAAGGCUGUGAGUUAAAACCACCUAAGACGCUAUGGAAUCAAAAGUGGAAGUAUGAACAACAUGAUUAGGCCUAGUCUUACAAUAUCUUUUGUAGUAUACGAUAAUACCCAUUUUCUAGUAGAUAUGAAAGGUAACAUUUUCGUCUCGUCUCGGUCGUUGGAAUGAUUGACUCUUCAAUAAAAAAGGACUGUGGUUGGACUCCAGCUCGACACUGUUCUUACGAGGAACUAUAUGUAAAUCUUUGAUUAAAUAUAAUAUAAUCCUUCACUUUUUUUCUUUCUACUGCUUUCUCUCAACUGCUUCCUCCAUCUCUCUCUCUCUCUCUCUCACACGGAUCUCUUUGCCUCUGCGUAAAGACAAAGAUUCAUCUCCCUCACUCGGGUCUCCUUCUCUUCACUAACUUCUCCAGAUCUAUAUACCAACUCUCCAAAUGUGCUUCCUUUUCUCCUUCCUAGUAGCUCAGAUGCUGUAACCGACAUCUCUCCGAUCUCGAAACCAUGGAGAACAACAACAACCUUAGCCUUCGCUUCCGCAAGAUUCCUCGGCAGCCUCUUUCUCUCCCCAAGCUCGAACCUUUGGUAUGUAUGUCUAACCUCCAGCUUUAAAUUGCGUUUCUCUCUCUCUCUCUCUCACCUCUUCUUUGGGUCACAGCUUGAUGGGAAUCUGGAACAGUGGCCGCACUUGAACCAAUUGGUUCAGUGCUACGGAACGGAGUGGAUUAAGGAUGCUAAUAAAUACGGACACUACGAGACUACUCGGCCUGAUACUUUCCAAACUCAGAUUUUCGAAGGUCCCGACACUGAUACUGAGACUGGUAAGAGAAGUGAUGAUGCAUGUCCUUUUUUUGUUUUUUUGUCAAAAUGAAAUCUCACUGCUGUUCUUUCUCCUCCAGAGUUCCAUCUUGCUAGUGCUAGGAGUGCUACAUUGGAUGAGGAUGUAGCCAGCGUUUCUGGGACGCCCUUUACUGAUUCUGGAUCCCCCAAGGUUUCAACUUUUUUUCUCUGUACAGCUCUUAGUUUCAGUGGCGUGAUUUUGUUUUUGUUUGCAGCAUUUUGGGCUACCUCCACUCCCUGCGUAUGAACCGGCUUUUGACUGGGAAAAUGAAAGAUCUAUGAUAUUUGGUCAGAGAACUCCUGAGUCUCCUGCAGCUAGCUAUUCCAGGUUUUUUUUUUUUUUGCUGUACUUGUCAUACUCUCUUAUUUGUUAUUAUAUUCUUCUCAUUUGUUCUUCUCUUCUUUUCACAGUGGGUUGAAGAUUUCUGUCAGAGUUUUGUCUCUAGCUUUUCAGUCUGGCUUAGUUGGUGAGGACUUUGAUUAGCUGUUUGGGGGAUGAUAAUGUCUAUCUUAAAGUUCCUUUCUUUUUAAAUCCUUCUCUUGCAACCCUGCAGAACCAUUUUAUGGCUCCAUUUCAUUGUACAACCAAGAGAGGAAGGAGAAACUCUCUGAGGAUUUUUAUUUCCAUAUUUCGCCAACCGAAAUGCAGGAUGCAAGUCACUGAACUUUCUCCUUUUAGCCUUUUCCUUCUCAUGAUUGUGUGAAGUUGGUUUGGGUUAUUUUCUCCACUUAAAUAUUGUGAACGUGCUCCAUUUUUUUGUAGGCCAAACCUUCAUCUGAAAACCGUGGAGUGUUUUAUCUAGAUGCCCCAUCAGCAUCAGUUUGCUUGCUGAUUCAGUUAGAAAAGACAGCAACGGAGGAGGGAGGCGUUACAACAUCUGUCUAUUCCCGUAAAGAACCUGUAAUUUCCCUUACUGUCGCUCGUGUCUCUUGUUCAUGUCAAUGCCUCGCUCUUAGUGCUUUUUUAGUAACAUAAAGAUAGUCUAUGACUUACAAUGGCAUAUAAUAUCAUGACUUACAAACCGUGGAGUGUUUUAGAUUUAUCUAUAUCAUAAUUUUUGUAGUAACUCCAUUAUUUGGCCAUUUGUGAAUUAGGUGCACUUAACUGAAAGGGAAAAGCAAAAGUUACAGGUCUGGUCCCGCAUUAUGCCUUACCGAGAGUCUUUUGCCUGGGCAGUCGUUCCGCUUUUUGAUAAUAAUAUCACCACAAACACUGGCGAAUCUGCUUCCCCUAGCAGUCCUCUUACUCCCAGUAUGACUGCCGCAAGUUCCCAUGAUGGUGUUUUUGAACCCAUGGCAAAGAUCACAUCAGAUGGGAAGCAAGGUUCUUCAGGUGGAAGUUCUGUCGUUGUUGAAAUAUCUAAUUUAAACAAAGUUAAGGAGAACUACUCUGAGGAGUCGAUUCAGGUAGAGUGUUAAAUUUUCACAGCCAACAAGUUUUUAAGUAAUUCAUGUUCUUUUAUGAUUGUUUUGAACUAGAUAUGGUGUAAAGUAAUUUUCUUUAUGAUUUCCUAGAGUUCGUUCAACCUGAUCAUCGUAGUAUGUCUGUUACUUGCUAGGUACCCUUUGGUUUGUCUUUCCUGAACUGGUCAUAUAUGUAAGCAAUUAGAGUUGUAUACACAAUUGAUUGAUUACAUACAGCCUUUUUUAUUUUAAUAGACAUUUUUUUUUCUGUAUGAGCGAGUCAAUUCAUAAGGUUUGAGGAAGUGAAGUCCCUCAUUUAGUUUUCUUUUUUCUGAAGUGUAGUUAGUGACUGAGUAUAUUUAUUAAAUGCAUCACAAGAAAAUAAGAUUUCUGAGAUGUCUCUUCUUACGCUUACAAAAAAGUUUCAGAUCUGAAUUGUAGAUAUAACUGGCACGCUUUUCAUGCAUAUAAUAUCAUACUGUAUCUUGCUGCUUUCAUUUGGAGGAUAAACAUAUAUAAAAUCCCUAUAGCCCAUCUUAAACCUUUGGACAUACACUAAUAUACUAUUGUUUAAUAACUUGUUCUUUGGUUUUUACAGGACCCUAAACGAAAGGUUCAUAAACCUGUUAAAGGAGUUCUAAGACUGGAAAUUGAGAAACAUAGGAAUGGACAUGGAGACGUUGAAGAUCUAUCUGAGAAUGGGAGUAUCAGAAAUGAAUCUCUUGAUCUGACUGACCGCCUCGGUGACCUGACGCUUAUGAAGUGUCCUAGUGCUGGUUCCGGUGGACCCCAUAACAGUGGUUCCAAGUGGAGUACAGAGGAUGUUUCAAAAAACCUAACGAGCUCAAGUGGGAAUGUUGACAAUUGUUACUAUGUAAGUAUACCAGCUUUUAUCAUUCGUUCAACUCAUUCCUUGUUCUUCUUCUUUAGCUUCCCUUUAUUUUUUAUCAACCUGUUUUUUCCUCCUGAUAAUCGAUCUUUGACCGUGGUUCUACGUUGAAGUAAAACAGUGAUCAUUCUAUUUUCUAACUAGUUAUGAAGCUGGAAAGCUGUGUUCUAGUCCUUGCUAUAAUUGACCAACAAUUUGAUCUGGUUAUCCAUCUUCUGGUUCCAGGCUUUUGAUUUCUGCUCUACGACAAGAAACGAGCCUUUUCUACAUCUCUUCCAUUGCCUUUAUGUGUAUCCCGUAGCUGUUACACUGAGUCGGAAGAGGAAUCCCUUUGUCCGGGUAGAAUUGAGAAAGGAUGAUACAGAUGUCCGAAAACAACCACUGGAGGUAAUUGUUUUGAUCAUCACUAGUCCUGGGCACGAUCAUGCCUUUUUAUCGAGUCUUUAUUUGAUAUUACUUUUGAUUUGGCUAGGCAAUAUAUCCAAGAGAGCCUGGUGUGUCACUCCAGAAGUGGGCUCACACACAAGUUGCUGUUGGAGCUAGAGCUGCUAGUUACCAUGAUGAAAUUAAGGUGUCUCUCCCUGCCACCUGGACGCCAUCACAUCAUCUGCUAUUCACUUUCUUUCAUGUUGAUCUCCAGACAAAGCUUGAAGCUCCAAGACCAGUAAGAUUUAUAUAGAGUUAUGUGCUUAUUCCUCUUUGAUGAAUCUGGUGCCUAGUUACUAAUUAUCUCUUAUUUUUUUCAGGUAGUUAUUGGAUAUGCAUCACUUCCAUUGUCUACAUAUAUCCAGUAUGUAUAUGAUAUCAGUCUUCCAUAUGGUCACUAGAAUUUUCUUAUGUUUUUUCUGAAAGAAGGCUUCUCUUUUAGAUUUCCUUAGACUGCUAAUGGGCGCGCGUUUUUCAUGUGUGCGCAAAAGUGCUAGUAUACAAACCAAAAUGAAAUUGAAACAUGCAAUAAAUCAUUGAUGUCAAACUUAUCUGGACAACUGGAUUAGGCUAUUUGUGCUUUCAGUAAUUACAAGCUGGGAGAAGUGUAUGCCUUGGUUUAGUAAUUCUUUCUUUUACUGAUAGUUUCUUUGAUCAUUAAUGCAGCUCACGGUCUGAUAUUUCUCUUCCGGUUAUGAGAGAACUGGUUCCUCAUUAUCUUCAAGAGACCACCAAGGUAUGCUAUCAUCAUAUGCUUUCAUCAUAUGCUUUCAUCAUUGAUUUAUAUCUUUUUCUGGGUGCUUAGCUAAUGAUUACUGGUCAAAUCCACAUGAAUGUCUGAGAAAGUUGGGAAAUGGACUAGGAAAAUUGUUCAUAGAUGAAAUAACGGUAAAGAGCAAAAAGGCUAGACUGUUAAGAAGGCGUAGUUACCUUAAGCAAAACAAACCAUUACGAUAUUAAUAAAAGUAUAUUCUGCCACCACAUUGUGUGUGAUUUGGUCUAGUUUAGAGAUAGUGGUAGGUGAACCUGUUAAUCAGAUCUUGAUUUUGACCUCGGUAUAACUUGUGAGAUAAUUCUAUUCUUAGUGUCCUUUUAUUAUUUCUAAUCACACUGAUUUGUAUAGUAUAAUCUUAUAUCUUGAUCAAUACAACACUAUUUCGAACAUAAUGUUGACGAUGAUACUGUCUGAUAUUCACAGGAGAGAUUAGAUUAUUUGGAAGAUGGCAAGAGUAUUUUUAAGUUGAGACUGAGACUUUGUUCAUCGCUUUAUCCCACCAACGAACGUGUCAGGGAUUUCUGUCUAGAAUAUGAUAGACAUACCCUCCGAACAAGCCCUCCCUGGGGUUCAGAACUGUUGCAGGUAGUCACAUUAACUCUUGUCUCAUUUGAUUUAUUUUCUUCACUUGUCUAGUAACAUGCUCUUUAUCUUUCUCCCAAGGCAAUUAACAGUUUGAAGCACGUUGACUCCACUGCCCUGCUUCAGUUUCUCUACCCAAUUCUUAACAUGCUCCUUCAUCUUAUUGGCAAUGGUGGAGAAACUCUUCAGGUUUGUCAGCUAAAAGCUUCUGAUUCCUUUACCACAUAUUUGUGAUAUAAGCACUGGUAGAUCGUAUUUCUGUUGUCCAUGUGAAUUUUCUUUUACAUCAUUUACCACUCAAUAUGCACCAUCCUGUAUUUGCUUCAGGUCGCAGCAUUCAGAGCCAUGGUGGAUAUUUUAACUCGGUAUGCAAUUUACUGUAUUUCACUCAACUGGGUUUAAUCUAGUUUAAUACGAUUUGUCAAAGGACUUGUCGAGUUGGAUCAUAUAAUUGUUUACCAAUAGAACUUAAUCUCAAAGGAUCAUAGAAACUAUUAAAAAAACUGUUGUAUAAAGAAGGGUUUUAGGUUUAGCUAAAUAAAUAAAGAACGCUAUGCCACAAUGUCAUUGGUGUACGAUUUUGGAUUGUCAACCGUCACUUCAGUUGCAAUCAAUGUGUAUGACUAGACACAGUAAAUGUACAACAUGACCGCUUGAUCCUUUUAUUUGUAUCCAUCGAUUAUCAAGCAUUAGAUGCUCAGUUUGAUAUUUCGUUCUCUGUACCAUUUUUCUCAAUUGUAAGCCGGUGUAUAAAAACCACAAGUUUGUAACGUCCUUUUGCUUAAUAGAUCUUUCAAUUUGGUUUAACAGGGUGCAGCAGGUGUCGUUUGAUGAUGCUGACCGAAAUCGUUUUCUGGUCACCUAUGUUGAUUAUUCUUUUGAUGAUUUUGGAGGCAAUCAACCACCGGUUUAUCCGGGAUUAUCAACUGUGUGGGGAAGUUUAGCUAGAAGCAAGGUAUAAAGUGCACACGUUUUGAUAAAACUACUAGCUUAUCUUUGUUCUAAUGUGAUGUACAUUCCUUAGACCUAUCACUCAUCCCAACGAUAAUAAAGCAUAUCUCCAUCUCUCCUAGUCUUGCAGCUAUAUGCUGUGAAUUUUCUUAUUUUAUUCUUAAUUGGUUGAUAAACACUAUGACUUGUACAGGCUAAAGGUUACCGGGUUGGACCUGUAUAUGACGAUGUUUUAUCAAUGGCGUGGUUUUUCCUCGAGUUAAUUGUUAAAUCAAUGGCAUUGGAGCAGGCACGUCUUUUUGAUCACAAUCUACCUUCAGGUACUUCUGUGGUAUCCAGUUUCAUUUUUUUUCCAUAGAGUUUUCUUCGUUAAGCUUUCAUGCAAUGCUGUUCUAGGAAUUGGCCUCUCCAAAUAAUAAUUAAAAAACUGCAUACCUAAAUUCAUAAAGAACGUGAUGACCUGUAAUAUGGGUGAUUGUCUAGAACUCAAUGACUAAGGACUCUAGUAACUUAUUUGUACUAAAGUCACGCAUAUUAUGAUAAAAAAAAAAAUUAAACUUACCCUUGGAUACAGAUUGCUAGCUUUCUUAAUCUUAAUGCCUUUUUUUCAUGAUUUUAGGCGAGGAUGUUCCACCCAUGCAGCUCAAAGAAAGUGUCUUUCGAUGUAUCAUGCAAUUGUUUGAUUGUCUUUUAACUGAAGUUCAUGAACGUUGUAAAAAGGGUCUAAGCUUGGCAAAACGUCUGAACAGCAGUUUGGCCUUCUUCUGCUAUGAUCUCUUAUAUAUCAUUGAGCCCUGCCAGGUCUAUGAAUUGGUAUGUUUUGUUCAGACUAUCGUACGUGGUAGCAACGGUUGCGUUAGUACUAAACUGCAUUUGAGUUUCUAUGGAAGUCUCUUGAUGAUAUUAUCUUUGGUUGACUUCAAGCAUGAGAAUGGUUUCAUGAAUUAUUCUGUCAUAGAAGUUUCGUUUUGAUCUGAUUAAUGAUUAUUUACUGGUUAGGUUUGCUAGCAGCGUAUUAAUUGAUCAUGUGCAUAAGUAUGGUUUUCAGUUCUAAAUAUUGUAUGUUAAAAUUGUUCUUGAGAAAACCUUGAAUUCAAUACAGUCAUAGAGCUUAUCUAGUUAUCAGUUGUCAGUAGUUUAGGACGUGGGAAUAAUCUAGGUCUUCAAUUACGUUUGAUAGUGAUAAAUUUAAAUGUCCUUCUCUCACUCAACAGGUAUCGUUGUACAUGGACAAGUUUUCUGGUGUUUGUCAAUCUAUCCUACACGAGUGCAAGCUCACAUUUUUGCAAAUUAUCUCCGAUCAUGAUCUCUUUGUAGAAAUGCCUGGCAGAGACCCAUCGGACAGGUACUCUCCCAUGGAAACUUCAUCACAUGUUUAUUCAAUUUGGCAUUUUCAAACAUUUGCACUUUAUUGCUUGAAAUCAUUUUCUAAGUAUUAGCACACUUGAGCACAUAAAAGUUAGAAUUAGAAUGUUAUGAAGCCACUUCUGCAGUAAGCACUUGAACUCUUAAAAUGAUGCAGAAAAGAGAAGCCUAAACUGAACCUACAGUCUUUUAUUUUAUGCGGCUUUGCAUCUUUACAUACUUUGGAAGGAGGGAGAAAGGAAAUUUCCUGAGCUGACUCUAUUUGUAUGUUCUAGGAACUAUUUAUCAUCCAUCUUAAUACAGGAGCUAUUUCUCUCCCUGGACCAUGAUGAGCUGCCUCUGCGGACAAAGGUAUGUUUGGUUGCAAGUGUUUGUUCGUAUGAGAUACUUAUGAUGUAAGAAGUUUACAUUGUAAUGCGGAUUCCUUUUUGGUAUCCUUGCAGGGUGCAAGAAUUUUAGUGAUCCUCUUAUGCAAGCAUGAAUUUGAUGCUCGGUACCAGAAAGCCGAAGAUAAGCUGUAUAUUGCACAACUAUAUUUUCCUUUUGUGGGGCAGGUAUGUCAUGAUGGCUUGAAAAAUAAUCACGCACAAAAUCUUUCAUUUACGUAGUAAAAAAAAUGCUUCUUUAGUCCACUUCUGCUUUAAAAGGUUUCGUGAUCAGUGGUUGUUUUCCAAGGCUAAAAAGUAGCCCAGAACCAUUCACUCAGUUGCCCUCCCCCUCAGUUAUCGUCAUAAGCAUUCGUUAUUACUGGAAUAUAGAAUAUAUGUUUAAAAGAAUUAAAUGGUGUGGCAAUCACAAGCUUUAUACUGGUUGCUGUGUCAAACGAUCAUAGCUAAAGCCAGCUGAUAUAUUCGGCUGACAAUUUAUGUUUUAUUUUCUUCCUUGUGCAGAUUUUAGACGAAAUGCCUGUUUUCUAUAACCUAAAUGCUACUGAAAAGCGUGAGGUUUUAAUCGGUGUGUUGCAAAUCGUUCGAAAUCUGGAUGACACAUCACUUGUCAAGGCAUGGCAGCAGAGCAUUGCUCGUACAAGAUUGUAUUUCAAACUCAUGGAAGAAUGUCUUAUACUAUUUGAGGUUCCGUUCCACAACCCUUUCUUAAAACUUGGGAAAAUACAUUUACAUCAAGGAAGCGCUAUAAAAUUGUUAAACUGGUGGUCUAUGGUGUGUAAUAAAGUUAUCUAUCAUGCUCUGAAGUUUUGUUGGAGAAAAUUUGACUUUAUCUAUUUGUGUGAUGUGGUAGAAUGAUAUGGGCGGCAGCUUACGGUCUAUUAGCACUUAAUUGUAUUACACACAAAUUUAUAUAGUUGUAAUCUACAUAAUGUUUGACUCCUAUGGCGAUUGAUAAUCUUGAAUUAAUAAAACUUUCAGCACAAGAAAGCUGCUGAUAGCAUCCUCGGGGGCAACAACUCUCGUGGGCCUGUUAGUGAAGGAACUGGAUCACCAAAGUACUCCGAGCGACUUUCUCCUGCUAUCAACAAUUAUUUGUCAGAGGCAUCCCGUCAAGAAGUCAGGGUGAGUUGCUGAUUUUAUUUUGUGUGUUCGUUCCUCUCAUCUACUUUGUAGUAAAGACACAUACCAGUUCACCUAGAAUUCCUUAAAGUUCUUCUGGUAGACUUCUCAAAACUAAGUUAGAAACUCUUCUGCUUUUUUGCUUUUCUUAAGUUAAACCAAGGGAAGACUUAAGUAUUGUCUGACGUUUUACUGCAGCUAGAGGGAACACCUGAUAAUGGGUACCUGUGGCAGAGAGUAAAUUCUCAGUUAGCCUCCCCUAGCCAACCUUAUUCCCUAAGAGAAGCUUUAGCUCAAGCACAAUCUUCGCGGAUUGGAGCUUCAGCCCAGGCAUUAAGAGAAUCGCUGCACCCUAUUUUAAGGCAAAAACUGGUAUAAUUCUCUGUUGUCUUUCAUGCCUUCUCCUUUAUAUUUAUCAUCAUUUUUGUUGGCAUAAUCUUCAGUGAGCUGUUCUACUAAUUGUAUUCACAUUGACCAGGAACUCUGGGAAGAGAAUGUAAGUGCUACUGUUAGCCUCCAGGUUUUGGAGAUCACUGAGAAAUUUUCAUCAAUGGCAGCCUCUCACAACAUUGCUACGGACUAUGGCAAAUUGGACUGCAUUACUACAAUAUUGACAAGUUUCUUCUCCCGAAACCAGUCACUAGCCUUCUGGAAAGCCUUCUUUCCUAUUUUCAACAGAAUCUUUGAUCUUCACGGGGCUACACUGAUGGCAAGGGAAAAUGAUCGCUUCUUAAAACAGAUAGCCUUCCAUCUUCUCCGGCUUGCCGUUUACCGAAAUGACAGUGUCAGGAAAAGAGCCGUUAUUGGUCUUCAAAUACUAGUCAAGGUGAGACAUCGAGCUUCAUGUAAAGACUUCUCAGUUUCUUGCCAUCAGGCUUGAGUUCAAUUGCUUUGUUCUUGCAGAGCUCGCUAUAUUUUAUGCAGACUGCUAGGCUGAGGGCUUUGCUGACCAUUACACUGUCAGAACUCAUGUCGGAUGUCCAAGUUACUCAUAUGAAAACGGAUAAUACAUUGGAAGAGAGUGGAGAGGCAAGGCGGCUUCAACUGUCAUUAAGCGAAAUGGCUGAUGAAGCUAAGAGUGUCACUCUGUUGAGGGAAUGUGGUCUUCCUGAUGAUACUCUGUUGGUAAUUCCCGGGAAGUUUACAGAAAACCGCUGGUCUUGGGCUCAAGUGAAACAACUUUCUGACAGCCUUGUUCUUGCUCUUGAUGCGAGCCUUGGGCACGCUCUUUUGGUACGGUUUUUAAACAACUUGGCAUUUUUUUAAAGAUAUCUUCUCUCGUUUUAGUGAUAGAAGAAAUGUUUUCUGCUAGUUUUGUUACCUGUAUUAGAGGACUUGAUUGCUAAACUGGUUCUUGCCUUUGUUAUAUGGCGGAAGCGUCAUGUCUUCUACACUCAAAAUCCUCCCCAUCAGCACCUAUUUUUAGUAUUUUUAUCUUGUUCAUGAAACUGAUAGGUCAUAAGGUAACACAGGAUUCAGUUUCCUGUGUAGGUAACACAGGAUUCAGUUUCCUGUGUGUGUAAAAUCGAACUUAUAGUGUGUUCGAGUAGAUCUGCAUCUUGUGUCAUGAUCAUGUGGAUAAUUUUAUGCUUAUAGAGAGUGGACUCCUUUCCCUUUUAAAAUUUUUAAUCUGGUUUAGAGUUUAGCAAUUUUAGGAAGCUCCCUAAUGGGUGAGUUAAGAUAUUUCUUUGAAUGAAUGUGAACGCAAAAUUCUGUGGUUACAGGGAUCGGUGAUGGCUAUGGAUCGAUAUGCUGCAGCAGAGAGCUUUUACAAACUUGGAAUGGCAUUUGCUCCUGUUCCAGAUCUUCACAUAAUGUGGUUGUUGCACCUAUGUGAUGCUCACCAGGAAAUGCAGUCCUGGGCUGAAGCUGCACAGUGUGCUGUGGCGGUUGCAGGUGUGAUUAUGCAGGUAAUAGCUUCUAAAUUUAUUGUGUGUAUGUGAUAUCUCUUUGGCAUUCAAAUCUUCAUGUCUACUAAAUACUACUACUUGAACUUAUAUACAUGUGUAGGCCUUGGUGGCUAGAAAUGAUGGUGUCUGGAGCAAGGAUCAUGUCUCUGCCUUGCGUAAAAUUUGCCCCAUGGUAAGUGGCGAGUUCACGACAGAGGCAUCUGCAGCUGAAGUAGAGGGUUACGGUGCUUCAAAGCUAACAGUUGACUCUGCCGUCAAGUAUCUACAGCUUGCAAAUAAGCUUUUCUCUCAAGCUGAGCUCUACCAUUUCUGUGCAAGCAUUUUGGAGCUUGUUAUACCAGUUUACAAGAGCAGGAAGGCUUAUGGGCAGUUGGCUAAGUGUCACACGCUGCUUACUAACAUAUACGAGUCCAUUCUUGACCAAGAAUCAAACCCCAUCCCAUUUAUCGACGCCACGUAUUACCGGGUGGGAUUCUACGGAGAAAAGUUUGGGAAGCUGGACAGGAAAGAGUAUGUAUACCGUGAACCGCGAGAUGUGCGGCUUGGAGAUAUAAUGGAGAAGCUGAGCCAUAUAUACGAAUCAAGGAUGGACAGCAACCAUAUUCUGCACAUCAUUCCAGAUUCGAGACAAGUGAAGGCAGAAGAGUUGCAGGCCGGAGCGUGCUACCUGCAAAUCACUGCGGUUGAUGCAGUCAUGGAAGAUGAGGAUCUUGGGAGCAGAAGAGAGAGGAUAUUUUCUCUUUCGACUGGUAGUGUUCGAGCACGAGUCUUUGACCGGUUCUUGUUUGAUACACCGUUUACAAAGAACGGUAAGACGCAAGGUGGGUUAGAAGAUCAGUGGAAGAGAAGAACAGUGCUGCAGACGGAAGGAUCGUUCCCUGCUCUCGUGAAUAGAGUGUUGGUUACCAAAUCCGAAUCCCUUGAAUUCUCGCCGGUGGAGAAUGCAAUUGGAAUGAUUGAAACCAGAACAACCGCUUUUAGAAACGAGCUAGAGGAGCCUCGUAGCUCGGACGGGGAUCACUUACCACGGCUUCAGAGUCUGCAGAGGAUUCUUCAAGGAAGUGUUGCAGUGCAGGUGAGUACAUAUUGUUAUCUUUGUUAUUGUGUGGAAAUGAAAUGCUCAUUAACCUUCUAUGGAAACAAUGCAGGUCAACAGUGGAGUCUUGAGUGUUUGCACAGCCUUCUUAUCAGGUGAGCCUGCAACGAGAUUGCGUUCGCAAGAGCUGCAGCAACUCAUCGCGGCACUUCUUGAAUUCAUGGCGGUUUGCAAGCGAGCCAUAAGGGUUCACUUCAGAUUAAUCGGAGAAGAAGACCAAGAGUUCCAUACUCAGCUCGUCAAUGGAUUUCAGUCUCUUACCGCAGAGCUCUCCCAUUACAUUCCUGCGGUUAGAAGAUCAGUGGAAGAGAAGAACAGUGCUGCAGACGGAAGGAUCGUUCCCUGCUCUCGUGAAUAGAGUGUUGGUUACCAAAUCCGAAUCCCUUGAAUUCUCGCCGGUGGAGAAUGCAAUUGGAAUGAUUGAAACCAGAACUACCGCUCUGAGAAACGAGCUAGAGGAGCCUCGUAGCUCGGACGGGGAUCCCUUACCACGGCUUCAGAGUCUACAGAGGAUUCUCCAAGGAAGUGUUGCAGUGCAGGUGUGUACAUAUUGUUAUCUUUGUUAUUGUGUGGAAAUGAAAUGCUCAUUAUCCCUUCAAUGGAAACAAUGCAGGUCAACAGUGGGGUCUUGAGUGUUUGCACAGCCUUCUUAUCAGGUGAGCCUGCAACGAGAUUGCGUUCGCAAGAACUACAGCAACUUAUCGCAGCACUUCUUGAAUUCAUGGCGGUUUGCAAGCGAGCCAUAAGGGUUCACUUCAGAUUAAUCGGAGAAGAAGACCAAGAGUUCCAUACUCAGCUCGUCAAUGGAUUUCAGUCUCUCACGGCAGAGCUCUCCCAUUAUAUUCCUGCUAUCUUGUCCGAACUUUAGUGUAAUCUUUGUAAUUUUUGUCAGUGUUUAUUACGAGUUUGUGUGUUUUAUUUCCACUAUUUGGUUUUGUUUAACUGCCUUUGGAUAGCUUUGUUUGUCUAUCUUUAAAGAAAAAAACACAUACGCUUCGGAUUACAUCCAAUCAUCUGUUCUCGUGGCAUACUUUAAUUAAAUGAUUAGAAGAGGUAACUUGGAGGGAGAAUUCUUCCCGUUCGGACCCACAGAAGAGACAGGUCUGGUCUAAAAUUGUUGAAAAGAACCCUUCAAGCGCGCGUGGGCAAGCAUAAAUAAAGGAGAACCCUCCAAGCGCGCGUGGGCAAGCAUAAAUAAAAGAGAACCCAUGUGCUUAAUUGCGUUGUACCAAAAACUAUACUCACUUUUAUAUCCUAACCACUAAUUUAAUAAAUUUAAACCAUCGGUAUUUCCCAACCAUGGUGUUCGUGUGACUCAUGUUAGUCUCUGCUAUAUAAAUAUAUACUAAAUGUAAUAUAGUAUGGGCGGACAAGAAACAAAAUACAAUAACACAAGUAUGAUUCAUGCAAUGGAGGAUGGCCGCACAAUCAAACAAACAUAUGGCAUUUAUGUUCGAGCGGUAGAAACUUGAGUAUGUGUAGGGAGAAAGUUAACCGGAUCCAAUAUGGAACCCCACAUAUAUCAAAUGCAAAUAAAGGUAAUGACAGUUGGUGAAUAAAAUGUAUACGAGCAGUGUAAACAGCUAAGUAUAUUAAUGUACAUGGCUAAUAAAAUAGGAGAUAAAACUUGUGAAUUAAUGGGGACCAAAUAAUCAGACUCUAAUGUUGGGGAAAUUAUUUUUUCUGUUUUAUACCAACCCGAGGUCAAAAGACUAUACUAUAUGGCAUAUAAUAUGGUCAUAUAGUCAACCAAUCAAGGAGAUCUUUUCGUAAAGACUGUGAGCAAAAUACAAAAUAAGAGGCAUGAGUUACAUGGGAAUAUGACAUCAUCGACGGAGGGAACAUAUAUGUACGCAUGUACUUGUAUGAAAAAACGCUGACAUGCAACUAUACUAUAUUUAAUAUAGUAUGGCAUCAGAUUCAGAUGUCUUUGUACAAACAAGAUGACCGAUACUAUACUAUAUUAAUAAUGUAAUAGUCUCUGUAUUUGCAUUAUGUCGUACUGACAUAUAAAACAAUCAAGCCUUGGCAAUGGCUAAGGAUAAAUAAAUACGUUGCGCUUAGUUGAAAAUAAGAUAUAAUUCGAAAUAAUACAAGAAAUUCGGACGACAUAGAAGUCCAAAGUGCACGCUUAUGGAAAAAGUUAAGAAAAUGCGAUAAGUUCAAUGUCUCAGCUGAAGAAAGUUAAACAGAGGGGAAGCAUCAAGUGGAUUAUUACGGGAGUUGGUGUGGGUUAAAUGUGGAGAAUGCUUCAAUUGCAUAUGGCAUAACUGCAGUUUAAAAUGCCUCUUUCGUUAGGGUCGUACACUGGUGCAUGCACUGAGUGGCAUUGAGGUCAAUGAGAACAAGCAAUGCAACACACGAUAAACCUGCGAAAUGGAAUCAUUGUAUGUUAUACUUACAAACCAACUUGAUUACAAUUUCAACUAUUCUAUAUUGCAUAUAAUAUAGUCACAUAUAUCACGACAUGUUCAAUUCAAUAUAUAUUUUUAUACUAUGCACAUAUAUCAUAUAGCAUAGUAAACUAUGCUAAGAGACACACCUAGCUUGUAGACUAUAAUCGAACCAUUUUUUUGACACCAUGGUGACUAUACUAUAUACUUUGCUCAUCUAGUAUGUAUCUCUUUACAUCAGUAUACAUGGUAGAACAAUUUUCAUACAUUAUAAAAAAAAUAUCAGGACUAUUAUAACAACGAACCCAUUUCCGGAUGUACAUUAGACACAAAGAAAGUAAAUGCAACAACAUAACUAGGCCAAUUGGCAAUCGGUCAAAUGUUCAUUAGCUGACCAUGUCAAAGAAUACUAAUAGUAUAGUCACUGGGCCACAUCUGCUGAAUUUUAGGCUAUACAAUUUAUUCGUAAUAUUGACAAUACAUAAUACAAACAUGUACCAUGGUAUACUUCAAAUAUAUAUAAAGCAAAAGGACAGCUUGUAUGCCACAAAUAACUACACAAAACUUGGUCAAAGACAAGUUACCAAAUAUGCAGAACAAACAACGUCUAUACUACUUAUGUUUAGCAAAUAGUUUAGUAAUUUAGAAAAUUAAUUUGUUCUUGUAUGAUCGAACGGUGAAACAGUUUUAAAGUACCUUUCUUUAUACUCCGAAGCCAUUCACCCCUCAACCACAGAUCUGCAAUAUAUUGGCUAGGGUGGUAUCGAUUUCAAAAACCCGAUCAGGUUUUCUCGGAUAAUGAAACUGGGUGCUAUAAUGCUAUGAAAUCAAAAUUACCUGCCGUGAUGUCUUCCUUUUCUUCUCUGAAUUGGAGCCACCAACGACAUUUACCACCACCUUUUGUACCCAAAAUUUGAAGUAGUGUUGCCUCACGCUUUAACCCACAACGAUAUGACAAAUAGUCCGCCUUGUUUCACAAGUGAAACAAAAGUGAACUUUCUCCAAAUCCGUCUUUGUUGUCGCUUUGUUGAGUGUAGAACGGGAGAAGAAAUUGUUCAGUUGCCAGGGGUAAGUGAAAUUGGAAGAAGUGGUGGGGCCAACGUUUUUUCACGCGCAUGUUGGGUAUUUUUGCCAUUAUACAUAAAUAUACCGACUAUAUCGUAGCCUAAAGUAUGCAAUGGUUAGAAUCUUUGUUUUGUGUGUUCCUAUUGUUAUGAGUUCAAAUUUCCCUAACUUAAAUGGUUACACAUGUCUGAACAAAAUACAACACAUCAUAUGCCAUUCGAAAACCACUUCUGAACUGACAACAUAAUGGUAAGAAUAAUAAGUUAUACCACCAAUGGUUAGAAACCUACUCAAGACUAAUCAUAUUAAUACAUAAAUAAUAACAUUAUUAAGCUAUAAAAAUAUCACGUCUAAACAUCCUUUAGCCCAAUUUUUUUCACAUGCUGAGGAGUCUCUUGAAAAAGAAGAUGAGAGGCAUUAUCAUUUUUUCAAAUCUCAGUCAAUACAACAAAAAAGAGCAUUUAGCAAAGGUUUUUUGGGUUGCCGAAGUACACCAUUUAGCGCAAUUCCCCAAAAAUUCAUCAAUCUAAUCUUCAAGGAUGAACAACUGGCAUGUUUUUGUAACUUUUUUCAAAUUGAUGGUAUGUUCACAAAACAAAUUGAUUGUCUGAGGGUAUUUUUGCAAAUUUCGAUAGCUGUCUUUCUUACGCAAGUCCGGAUCAUGUUGUAGUCGAAUCCCAAAAGAAAAGAUCACAUCAUCUCCAAUCUCCAUGGAAACAGCGUCGAGAGUCGAAGCAGUUACCAAAGGCGGCUUGCCUGUAGUCCCUUCCCAGUACAUCCAGCCACCGGAAGCUCGCCCCAACCUCCUCCACGCCGGCGACGCUGCUCCAAUCCCAACCAUCGACCUCUCUAACUCCGAUUCCGUGACGGAAUCAAUCGGCGAAGCUUGCCGCAACUGGGGAGCCUUCCACGUGGUCAACCAUGGCGUCCCCAUCCAUCUCCUCGAUCGCAUGAAGUCUCUAGGCCUCUCCUUCUUCCAAGACUGUCCAUUGGAAGAGAAGCUCCAAUACGCCUGCGACUCAACCUCCGCCGCCUCCGAAGGUUACGGCAGCCGCAUGCUCCUCGGAGCCGAAGGCGACGUCGUUUUGGAUUGGAGAGACUACUUUGAUCACCACACGUUCCCUCUCUCUCGCCGCGACCCUUCUCAUUGGCCGUUACAUCCUCCUGACUACAGGUUCCUCCUUUUAUUCCUUCACUUAUGAAAAAAAAACACAUCACUUGGGUGACAUACCGCACCACCCGCACUGCCGUUAAUAGUAACAAUAUAUCUAUAUAUUUUUGUUACUAUAUGAACUGCAUAUUGUUCGGUAUAAUUGUUCCUUACGUUACCACUUGGACUCCUAAUGUUUUUUUUUAUUGAUUUGGGGGCUAGACAAGUAGUGGAAGAGUAUGGUAAUGAGAUGAAGAAACUAGCUCAGAAGCUGUUGGGGAUCAUCUCAGAGAGCUUGAGUCUUCCAUGCUCAUCUAUAGAGGAAGCUGUUGGAGAAAUCUAUCAGAACAUUACCAUGAGUUAUUACCCUCCUUGUCCUCAGCCUGAGCUUACUCUUGGUCUCCAGUCACAUUCAGACAUGGGUGUCAUCACUCUCUUGAUUCAAGAUGAUGUUGGUGGUCUUCAGCUUUACAAGGAUGAUCACUGGCUCACUGUUCCUCCCAUCUCUCACGCCAUUCUUGUUCUUAUAGCUGACCAAACCGAGGUUGUUUCUAUGUAAUAUUCUCUCAUAUAAGCUAGUAAGAAGCUCUGAUCGUGCUCGGUCCUUUCUUACAGAUCAUAACCAAUGGCAUAUACAAAAGUGCUCAACAUAGAGCAGUGACUAAUGCGAACAGGGCGAGGUUAUCUGUUGCAACGUUUCAUGAUCCUUCUAAGACGGCAAGGAUAGCACCAGCUUCUCACCUUAUUGGGCAACACACCAAACCGGCUUACAAGGAAGUUGUGUACGGCCAGUAUGUUUCUUCUUGGUACUCAAAGGGUCCUGAGGGUAAACGAAACCUUGAUGCUCUCCUUUGCUAAAUCUUAUAUCUUCAAACUUUGUUUAAUGGCUAUCUUUUUAUUCUGUCUCAACUUGCGUUACCCGCAGUUUUUCAAGUUUAUGUGCAUCUGUAGACAACCUAAAUUUCCAAUACACAAAGUUGUUUUAACGAUAAUAUGUCGUACACAAAGCUGGAAGCUGUAAGUUGAACAGAGUACUUGUGUCAAAGAAAAUGGUAGAAAGAUAUGAGUUCUGUUGCUUGCUUGAAAAAGUAACAACGUCAAAAACAAUACUUAGAUGAGCGACGGUUUGUUUUUUCUUUUGUCUGAAACAUUGCAUCGGAGCCAGAAGCUACGAUGAAGUGUUUUGCAAGAGUAAAUUUUGCAACAGCAAUUUUCUUGUACUCCACCUCUCUGCUUUAGCGCCUCUAUCUCUGCCAACUCAAUCAAAUUUGUGUUUCUUUCUACAAUGGAUAUAAUGACAUAUUAUUAGAUCACGUUUACGCCUGCUAUCAAUCUAGACAAUAUAUUGGUUUCCAAAUGUUUCUUCUCUCACACCAUGCAAAAGAUAAAAAUGCAGAGUAUUUAUAUUCAAUGUAAAGAGAAAAUUUUGUUACCUAAGGCAUAAAAAUAGUCACUUUGAAUUUCUUGUCACUUUGAUCCUUUAGAUUAACUUUUUAUUUUCACCACAAUCACAAAUCAAACCUUAAACCGAAGUUUUUCUGAACUUGAAUCAUAGAAGCUUGAACAUUAAUAUUUUCCACUUUGAUUUAAGUUUCAUAUUUUCUCAACAUACUACGCGUGCUUAGGAUUUAACCUCUAACAAAGAUGACACUUCAUUUUUAGUUGGUCAGCUUUAGAGGCUCUAAAACUUCUAAAACUGUAACAAACUUGUUAACAUGGAUAGUGAUGUAGCGCAUCGUAUAGCUUUUACGCAAAGAAUUAUGAUCUCUAUGUACAUAAUAGAUAUGAUGUUUUUUUUUGCUAAACUGUAAAUAUCAUUAACUAAAAUGAAACUUUUGUCUUUUACAAAAUAAAAGGCUUUUACAUAUAUUUUUCUUCGCAAAAAUUAAAUAAAGAACAAGAAAGAUAGUAGAUUUUUAGCUAUUGGGAAUGACCAGGUCAUCAGAUCCAAAGUGCCAUGAUGUUGGUGAAUUUGCGCCUCUUGUGCCUUGCAGUUAUUGUGUUCCUCACAUCUCUGUCUAUUAAUCUGAAAGUUUCAGCGUGAAGUAGAUAUGAUGUUUUAAGGCUUGUAAAAACAACUUUGAUUUUGAAUAUACAUCAAGCCUCUGAAACUAGCUUUCAUAGCACGAAGAAGAGUAUUCGUAACUUCUAACGAGCUUUCUAAACACAUGAAAAAAUAUUCCCAACCAUCAAGCCCCUGAAACUAGCUUUCAUUGCGUCCACAUGGUUUCUACCACUCUGCAUGCCUCCUGGUUUACUCUCCGACACACAAUGCCUCAUCAAUUAUUUCAACGACUACGUCAAGACAUAAACCCUCAGUUUAUCCUUCUCCAUCUCAGCAUAUCUUGCAUCCACAUGGUAACCCACCACUGCGUAUGCCUUAUAUAGUAACGACUAAUGCAUCCAACAUCAGUGACUUCGUCGCCAAGUUAGUCACGGAAGACUAUUGACAUAUAACAUCUUGAGGUUGAAUUUUAGCAUAUCUUGCAUCUUCAUAAACCAGAAGUUGAAUUUUAAUUUUCGAAAUGUUAUCGGACAAAUAGUCAAAGUGACCCAUCUUGAGGUUGAUUCAGUCAAUGGGAAAGACACCAACAAGAUUUCCAUUGAACUUCACAACCUGAGUAUCUAUCGAAGACUAAACACGACUUAUAUUCAACCACAACAUCAAAUACUAUUUUUAAACGACUAACAUCUUCUAUUUGAAUUAGGGACGAACGUCUCCCACCUGUAUUAUGGGGUCAAUUUGCAACAGAUGUUGCUGAUGAUAUUCGGGUUUGUAGUCAACAUUCACAGAUUUGUGUUUUGAGGUUUAGAAAGAUUAAAGUUUGAAAAGUUAAAUAUUUACGGAUGUAGACAGUUUCUCAUUGAUGGUGGAUCUUAUAUUAGUAGUGUUUCUAAUUGUAUAUUUGAAUAUAUUUUUUUUGGCUGAAGAUCGGAGCAUCUCCAAUGCCUAUAAUGUGUCAGAUAUCACACCUAAAUUCGAAUAUGGCAGAGGUGGAAGUUUUUGUGUCUAUUUAAAUUUUAUAAUGAACUUUUAGUCAAUAAUUCACUUCAGGCAUGUUUGUUGGAAUGUUUUCCUUAAACUAAUCGACCAUGAGUAUUUUUAGUUUUCUUUUUAUUCUAUAUAUGUAGGUUACCACACGAUGAGAUAUCAUUAGCAAUUAUGGACUCAAAGCCUCUAUUUUGGUGAUUGGAGUUUAAAAAAAGGAUGAUUUUUUUUUUGUUCACACACCUAGAAAAUCUGUGCCUCAAAUGUUUGAAUCAAGACAGGUUUAAUAAGUUUUACACUUAUUUGUUCUUACUCUGAUUUACUUUUAUCUUUCCUUAAACAAUUUUUCAUGUUUAUAUAGGUGGAGAAGUAAACAAUAAAUUAUGCCUCGGUGAGAAAGGAUUCUCCCAGGCACAUACUCCAAGACGGGCAUAGCAACUUGUCUAACGUUCAAAAGUCUUGAUAGUGACUACUCAAGAAGUUACCGAAUUUGGAAGAAUCCACCGGUCCGUUCAUUGCCUCCUUGUGAAAACUCUAUUAUCUUACCGGAAGUGGCAUCCUCCAAGGAUUUUUUUUCUCAAUUCCUCAACCUUCAAGAUCUCACAACUUCGUAGAUCUAACUCCAUUUCUACGAAUAUUCCGCUAUUAAAUCACUUCCAAACUAGCAGUAAGAGUCUUUCUACUACCAAGAAUUCCUGAAACCAGAAACAAGAGUUAGUGAAAGGUGUAGAGAUACGAUGGCAAGUAGAUUUACCAAGGAAGAAAAAGGAAAACAUCACCUCUCCGGAGACAUGGAACCCACCAUCAAGAGAAUCAAAGCUCAUUACGUAGACAACUCAAUCCUCAUCAAGGAAAACAUGCUCACACUCAUAGGCAGAGUCACCAACCCACAAGAACAAAAAAUCUGGGUUCUCCUCCCAGCGCUGCCUCGCAAAUGGCACCUACAAGGGAAGGUUACCGGUUCAGAUCUCUGGAAUGGUUGCUUUCAGUUCAGAUUUGAAAGAGAGGAAGAACUACAGAGAGUCUUAGAUAACAGACCCUAUCAUUUUGCUUACUGGAUGAUCAUCCUUCAACGAUGGGAACCUGUCAUAUCUGCUACCGCUCCAUUACUGGCAUGAAGACAUGAUAUGUGACAUUGGAAAGGAGUUGGAAACGCUGCUGAAUCACGAACUCACCAAGACAUCUGCAAGAAUCAAAGUCUUAAUUGACGGUCUCAAACCCCUAGAGAAUAAAUCCAUUAUAUAAUUUGAUUCUGGAGAAGAGAGUUUCAUUUACCUGGAGUAUGAAAGAUUGGAGAAUCAUUGCUCCUUCUGCCAGUCUCUCUCCCACCUAAAAGAAGACUGCCAUAAUCUUAUGUAAAGAAACAAAACCCUAAAACUGCAGGAGGAAGAAGAUCUCCACAACUUGGGUAGAGAUCUAAAUCACAAGAGCAUAAAACAAGACACUCAUACCAAAGACUGAUAAACCGUUCUUCAAGCCAAGGAAGAGAGUUCCACAAGAAUGAUAUGAGCGCAAAGACAUUCAACGAAAGAGUCGACAGACAUGGCAACAGUUUCGGAGAUAGAGUAGCAACUAAACAAACUAGAGUGCCCCCGCCGGCCAGAGCUCUGACUUCUAAGGCAGAUACUACACAGAACUAGAGAAGCAGAUCUAACAAUCUUGUGGUGGAGGUCCAAGGUUAUAACUCCCCCCUGUACACAGUACAAAGAGAGGAGUUGGAAGGACGACAACAUAAGCGAGCUCCAUUUCCUCAGAGAGGCCUUAAGGAAUGGAGAGUUAAACCACUAGCUCUGACAUCUUCACCUAAAGUGAAUGACGAGAUACACAUGAUGACUCCUCAUCCACGAAGAGACCAGAACCUGCAAAGCAAACCUCUUACUCCAAUGUCAAAUAUCAAUCAGACAGAAGAAGAAAUUCAAAGAGAUCUAGAUGAGGCCACAUUACUCUACCUUAGCUGUCCAGAUCCAACAGAAGCGGCGGCUAGAAGACAACGUGUAAUGAGUAGUGAUGCCAAGGGCCAGAGAGCAGAAACAAUGGUUGUUAUGAUGAGAUCAACUUCGAAUCACCUAAAACAGAUACCUGCGGGAGCUCAGGAGAUUAGAACAGGUUAUAAGCAGACAAAGGAGCGUAUAAUGGAAGAUCUCCAAGAUGUCACAAAGCAGUACCUUAGCUGCACAGAUUCUACGGAAGCUGCAGCUAGAAAACAGAGAGUUUUAGCGGAUGGCACCUCGGGCUUAAUGGAAGAGACAGCAGACUCUAUUUUGGCUGCCUCAGCAAACAUCAGACGCCCGCUAUCUCCAUGGGAACGAGGAAUAAGGUCAGAAAGCCCUCAAGCGAAGGAUAAUCCUCUGAACGCUCUCUUCUGCACUGCCAGUCUCUCAUGCUUAGCCCACAAGGAGGAGAAGAUAAGGACGAUGACAAUGAGCUUGAUCCCUAUUACAGUGAAGUCUCCCCACCACAAGUGGCAGCACCUAUACGCAAAAACAAUGAAAGAUCAGCAAGGAUGAAAUAAAUUAUUAUCAGCCCUAAUGUGGAAAGGGAGGAGCUACCUCCAAAAGCUCGAGAACACCAAGAACAACUGAUCUCAUCUGAGCAGGAGGAAAUUCUGCGAGAUUUUCAAAACAAAGUAAGAAAACCCCGAAACCCUGCAAAGAUAAUUAAGAAGCUCGAGAAACAGCCCUAAUCUCAGAGGAACUAGUUUCAAGAAAAGGAAGUUAACACAGGUGCAGAACUCACCUAGUGGAGGAAGAGGUGCAGGUGAAGGUACAUCCAGAGCAAAUCAGAAAAGAAAGAUAACAAAUGACCCAAAAGGACACUCCCAAGGGACGGGAAACCCACCAAUCCAACUCAUACCAGCAAUGACCCGAAAGAAAGCGGAUUUUCGGGACACUCCACCCCGGGCUCCUUAGUCGUAUUAAGCUGGAACUGCUGCGGGUUGGGGAACCCUGCAACAGUCCAGCGGUUGAGGGAGAUACAUAAGAGGAACUUUCCUGAUAUUUACAUCCUCAUGGAAACCAAGAACAACCUGGAAACAGUCAAGAAGAAACUGCAAGGCCUUCCACUAGAUAACAACCAUGAAGUUCCCCCUAACAGUCCAGGGAGUGGAGGCCUGUUUCUCAUCUGGAAGAACGACAUCCAACUUACAGUUAGAACGAGCAAUAAGAACUUUAUUGACACGCUAAUAACAGAGAAAGGGAUUACCUUCCAAGUCACCUUUGUUUAUGGAGAGCCAGACCAUACAAAGAGACUCGCUGUCUGGAAUGAACUGUCCUCUUUACAACCUGCGACAGGAGACCCAUGGUUUUUAACUGGUGAUUUCAAUGAGAUUACAGACAAUAGUGAAAAGAAAGGUGGACCGGAACGAGCAGAAGGCACUUUCUGCGCAUUUAGAACCUUCUUAUCGGAGAAUGAUCUUUUUGACAUCAAGCACUAUGGGAACUUUCUCUCAUGGAGGGGAAACAGAAGCUCACACGUGGUACAAUGCCGUCUCGACAGCGCAUUAAGCAACAGCGAAUGGCUAAACAUCUUUUCCUCAUGCCGAAGCCAAUAUCUGAAAUAUGAAGCAUCUGACCAUCGCCCUCUCCUAACCUUCAUGGACACACGAAGAAAGAAAGGUCUUAAAAUCUUCAGGUUUGAUCGAAGAUUAAAAGAUAACGAUGAAGUAAAAUUGAUCAUCAAGAAUGUUUGGGAAGCAGAUACUCACCUGAGUGUUGAAGAAAGAUUAAGCAGUUGCAGAAAAGCCAUUUGUAGAUGGAGUAGAGAGUUCUAAAUAAAUAGCAGGAAGACCCUAGACGGUCUGCGUGAAGAUUUAGAUGAAGCUCUGUCUAAUCCAAGCCCAGACGAGGACCUGAUUCAUAAAAUAAAUAUCAGUCUGCUACUGGCAUACAAACAAGAAGAAGAGUAUUGGCAACAACGCAGCAGACAACUAUGGCUAACACUGGGUGAUUCAAACACAAGUUACUUCCAUGCCGCAACAAAGACAAGAAAAUCUAGAAACCGUAUGACGGUUAUAGAAAAUGAUGAUGGAGUACCUUGGUUUGAGGAGGAUCAAAUAGCUGAUGUGAUUUGCAAAUACUACGAGGAUCUCUUUACCUCCUCUCCAAAUGAAGGCCUGCAGAUUGUAGAAGAAGCACUCCAACCCUGCGUCGCCCAACAGAUAAAUGAAGAACUCAUAAAAGAGCCAACACCAGCUGAGAUAAAAGAAGCUACCUUUGCCAUUCAUCCGGACAAAGCUCCAGGACCGGAUGGGUUCUCAGCUAGCUUCUUCCAAGCCAACUGGGAGACGGUAGGACCGGCGGUGACUAAAGAAAUAAUGUUGUUCUUCUCAACUGGUAUGCUCCGCCCCUCGCAAAACGUUACACAUGUUAGACUGAUCCCGAAGAUAGUAGGAACAAAGAAGGUUGCAGAUUAUCGUCCUAUAGCUCUAUGCAACGUAUUUUUCAAGAUAAUUUCUAAGAUGUUGGCGUUAAGGCUAAAACUAGUGCUCCACACGAUCAUAUCAGAGAACCAAUCAGCAUUUAUACCAGGAAGAGCUAUAGCAGACAACAUUUUGAUCACACAUGAAGUACUUCAAUUUUUGAAAACGUCUCAGGCGAAAAAAAGAUGCACGAUGGCGGUAAAGACUGAUAUGUCUAAAGCCUAUGACAGAGUUGAGUGGAGAUUCAUAGAAAAAGUCCCACAACGUCUAGGCUUUCAUGCAAAAUGGGUGAAACUAAUAAUGCAAUGUGUUUCUACGGUAUCAUACUCAUACCUAAUCAAUGACUCAGUUCAUGGGGCGGUAACGCCUAAACGAGGAAUAAGACAGGGAGAUCCACUCUCCCCCUAUCUGUUCAUCCUCUGUAGCCAAGUUCUAUCAGGUCUAUGUCGUAAUGCGGAAAAAGAGGGUACCUUACAAGGAAUAAGGGUCGCGAGAAACUGUCCAAGGGUGAACCACUUGCUAUUUGCAGACGCCACCAUGUUCUUCUGCCAAACUUCAGUACCGAACUGUGAUAAAUUGAGGAGCAUCCUAUAGAAGUACGAGCAAGCUUCGAGACAAAAUAUUAAUACCACCAAAUCUUCCAUCACCUUCUCAUCAAAGACUCCUGAAGAGACAAAGAAGUUAGUGAAAGAAAAUUUAGGAAUCGACAAGGAGGGAGGGUCAGGGAAGUAUUUGGGCUUACCUGAACACUUUGACCAUCGAAAAAAGACCUCUUCACUACGAUUGUGGAUCGUAUCAGGCAAUGCGCAGCGAGUUGGUCCAAAAGACACCUCUCCAAGGCUGGAAAGAUGACAAUGCUGAAAGCAGUACUGACCGCAAUCCCUACUUAUACCAUGUCCUGCUUCGAGCUACCUGUGAGUUUAUGCAAAAGAAUCUUGUCAGUACUCACUAGGUUCUGGUGGGACACUUCAGAUGGUAAAAGAAAGAUGUGCUGGGUGGCUUGGAAUAGACUCACUAAACCUAAAGCAGGAGGAGGUUUAGGACUGAGGGAUAUACAACUUUUCAAUCAAGCCCUAUUGGCUAAACAAGUGUGGAGGGUACUAACAAAUCCAAAUUGUCUCUUUGCGAAAGUGCUCCUAGGUAAAUAUUGCAAUAACAAAUCAUUUAUGGAGGUGCAAUUGCCUACGGUUUGUUCGCAUGGAUGGAGAAGCAUACUUCAUGGAAGAGAACUACUAAAAGGAAAUGUAGGUAAAGCCAUUGGGAACGGUCUAACCACUAUAGUUUGGAAAGACUCAUGGAUCUCGCUAGAUAAAGAUACUAAGUUCUAUGGCCCUAUCCAAGAAGACGCUCUGGACCUCACAGUUUCGAACCUCCUAACUUCAGAUAUGCAAUGGAAUAAAAGCAUAAUUGAGCAACUAUUACCUCAGGUAGCGAAGGAAAUUCAGAUGUUGCAGCCAGGACACAGAGCAGCCAGAGACAUCUAUGUGUGGCAACCCCUCCAAUCUGGUGUAUAUAGCACCAAGUCAGGCUAUUACACUGCAGCUAUGAAAGAUCAAAUCCAAGUAAGACCGAGUGAUGAUUCAUUCGACUGGAUAAAAGAUAUUUGGGCAGAGAGAAGCCCACCAAAAAUGAAACUAUUCAUGUGGUCCAUUGCCCAAGAAGCUCUUCCGCUGGGAGAACUCCUACAAAGGAGAGGAAUCCAAUCAGGAGUGGCUUGUGUCCGAUGUAAUUAAGUGGAAUCAGCAACACAUACCUUUUUCAAUUGCCCAUUCGCACAAGAAGUCUGGAAGCUCAUCCCAAUGAAAAGAGUAGUUCACCUAGCUACUGAUAUCGACUUCACAAACGCAAUAGUAGCCUUCAGGCAAGCGGUUUGCCUACCCCUGACAGGCAUCACAACGACUAUUCUCCCGUGGGUGUGUUGGGCCCUUUGGUCAGCUCGAAACAUGCGCAUAUUUGAGAAUCACACUCUCACAGCUAUAGAAGUGGCGACAAAAGCCCUCAAAUUAGCAAGAGAAUGGAUAAAUGCCCAAAAUCAAAUCUUGAAAGGAAAGGUCCAGUACCUCAACCCAAGCAGGCGAAGCGACAACAGAUGAUCACCGGAACGACAACGACAUGCAGAUCUGACGCAGCCUAUGACAAGCGAUCCCGAAGGGCAGGACUGGCAUGGAUCUUCAAGGAACCAUCUGGUACCCAUCUCAAUCAAGGAGCCACCUCACAUGAUCUCGUUAGCUUUCCACUAAUGGCAGAAGCGCUCGCUCUUCGAAACGGAUUAAUUUCUGCAGUGAAUCUCGAGCUAGACAAGCUCCAGAUCUUCUCUGACAACUCAACCCUCAUCCGAGUAAUCAACAACGACACACAUGUGAAGGAAAUCUUUGGUAUUCUCAAAGAUAUCCAACAGAUUUCCCCUGUUUUUGUCGAGAUAACGUUCUCUCACACUCCUCGGUCUUCCAAUGUCGAACUCGAUCGUUUAGCUAAACAUGUACUUUCAUCUUCUCUUGUAAUGGAUCCAAUAAUGGGCUAACUUGGGCCCGAGGCCUCUUUGACUUUUAUUUAAUUAAAUGAAUACGUGUUACAAAAAAAAAAACAUUGGGAUUUUUCGUUUAGAUCAAAUUUGAUUACACACGAAAUCACUACUAUAUAAAAGGAGCUAUUUUUGGAGCUUCUAAGGGGUGCCACGUCGGAUGAAAUAUUCCUGGCCAAUCAUUUUGCCAUGUCAGCUUGAAUUCUACGUACUACUCAAUUCUUCGGCGACAAAAAGAGUUCUGAGUUUUUCGAGCUUUGUAUAAAUCCCAUUGAGUGGCCCAAUAAAGGUAUCAAAAUCGCAUCUCCAAACACGGGGAACGUCGUUUUGUUUUCCUCCUCUUCGACAGCUAAACACUUACCUUCUCCGCCGUUCGGGAUCACCGGUGAAACGGAAUAGAGAUUCAAGGCUAGGGAAAGAAGGAAAAAGGGAGUGUGCUCCCUACUCCGAUGAAACACGGUGUGACUAUCACUCCGAAGUCCUGGACAUCACCUGGCAGGUGUCCAAGCCGACACAGGAUCCAUCACCAAACGCCUUCGUUCAAGCACCCCAGAGGAGCCCCGCGACCUAAGCACGCCAGAUCCAAGGAGAAGACCCGACUCUUGAAACCCUAACGCUGCCGCUUUCGCAGAUCCGCCACCACACAGGUCUGAGAUGCUGCUACUCCUCCACUCUCCCAGCGGUGAAGAGAAGGAUCCAGGCCAACGAGAAAUGAGCUAAAGUGAACCGCCAUCUCUCUAGAAAGCUCCGCCGACACAAAACCAUUCUCACCAAUGGCAACAAACCCACCCCCCAUGACUGACAAGCGGCUACGGGCAGCCUCUCAGUUGUCCUCAAAACAGAAAACGCCACCAUCGAACCGACGAGCCACCAGAGAACGAGAAGCCGUAGAGGUCAAACCGCACAGAUGACCUACCCGUCUCGCCGAAAAAUAUUUCAAUCUCUCAAGGAAAUAAAAUUCCAAGCUGUGACUCAAAACUGUCACUUUAUGCCUGUCAUGCAUCUGGAUCAGGUCCUCAGAAAAAUGGCAAUCGAGGAUCUAGAGGACACAAUUCACAAAUCAAGCCUAAGAUCAGAAGAAUCAUGGUAUUUCAUAUAAAAUCAUUUAUCUACCAUGCUCUAUCUUUUUUAACAUAUAAUUGUUGUGUUUGGUGUACCCACCCAGCAAAUGGGUUAGGUUUUAUCAUGAUGAAGAGUAAGAAAAUGCGCUUUUGAAAGAAUUUUCAUGUUCUUAAACCCUCCGAAAUCCCGUAGAAAUAGUGGCACGAAUCUAGAACAUUUCUGAUUUUUUUAAUUGAAAUAUAAAGAAGGAAAACUUAUCACGCUAGAAGUUUAUGAUGUUCAAUGUGUGGUUUAAGAGAUAUGUUUAAACGUUCUCUUGAAGUAUAAUAUAUAAUCAUAUACCAAAUGGUUAUGUUUUAGAGCAUGAUAUAUUGAAUACAUUGCUAUUGAUAUAGGUUCCAUUUGGUAAAGUUGUGAGAUGUCCGAGCUGUUUGAUUGGCAUUGCUGUUCCACAACCCCAGAAUGGAGUUCAGGUAACGAUGUCCCCAUCCGAUCGACAGUUAGUGAUAAGCGUUUUCUACAAGUUUAACUGUUAAAUAUGUUUCGUAUGUUCCUAGAUUGUCUAUGUGAUGCAGCUUAUUUUGGUUCUAGAGAGUGGGUUGUGUUUCGUUAUUUGACCUAAAAAAGACUGAGAUGUGUGGUGUUUUGAUGCUGAAAUAUUCACUUAUUCUAAGGAGCACAAUCUUUUGAACGCAGCAAAUACGUUCCUUCGUAGGAAAAAGGGCUAAAGACUAAUCCAGAUAAAGAAGAACAAAGUCACCUCUUCCAUGCACUCUAUAGUGGUGAAAUUCCCAUCGUAAACACAGUUUAAUAUUAAAAGAAUGAAGUUAGAUACAAAAUUUUAACCGUUGCAAUGGAUUUCAGGUACAAGCACCUUCGGAUACAGCAGAAACGCACCAGUUUGGCGCUGAGACAGCUGAGCUCCCUAUGCAAGAAGAAGAAAGAGUGACAAUUGCGUUUGCUGUUCCAUAACAUGUUUGCAGACAAGUGAGGCACUGAACAAUACCAUGUUUUUUCUCUAACAUUUACAUAUGAAUAUUUAGUCUGAGGCUUAAGUAGAAACUCCAUUAUUCCACAGGAAAGCAUUGCUCAACAUAUAGAGCAGAUCUUGGAACUCGAAAACCUUGAAGAUGUAUACAAUUCUAAAAUUACUUUACAUCCAAAUCAAAUGUAUAUUUAGUGAAAUAUUCCAGUUCAUUUGGGACAAAAGAAAGCAUACUUGCUUUGUGUGUUAAUUUUACUUUGGUGUUUGUUGUAUGCGAUGCAGAAAUGUAAACUAUAGGCCGAAGCAAACGAUGAGUCAGAGAGACUUCUCAGCUCUCAACCUUAAACCUCUAUAUUAACAAAAAAAAAACCUGGUGAGGAAAUCAUUAUCAUCUUCAAUCAUCAUCAUCAUCAUCAAUCAUCACAACAUAGCUCAUCCUCAUGGUAAGCAAUCAUCUUUCAGCGACAUAUGUAUGGCCUUAAUGAUGUCUCUGCGGAACUGCAAACUAGAUUCUUCAGUGACAUGAACCUGUGGAAUGUUGAGUUUAUGAUGAUAUACAUGUAUGGUAUUAUAGAACCCUGGGUUUUAAAAAGCGUGCCUUAGGGUUGCUAAGGCUUAUUAGAAUCUAUAUCUCUCUUUCUGGGAGGAACACAGAGCUUGAUGUAAUCAUAACACGAGAACUCGAGAAGGUUUGCUGAUUUCUUAAAGCUUGUGUGUUUAACAUGCUUAAGUUGUUUGUUGAACUAAUUGUAUUUUAUUUUCGAUCUGAUUUCUACUAUGUUUGUUUGUUCAGUAUUUGCAAGUUGUUGGAUUGUACGAGGAUAAGGAGGAAACAUGUAGAAGGAAGGAGGUUCUGGGGAGGCUUAAUCAGUUUAUACUACUUUGUAACUAUAAGAAAUUGUGCUUAUAGAUAUUUCAUUUAUGGUUAUGAUAAGGAUUGAAUGAUCAGCUGCUUCAUGAGACAAUGCAGAGCAACAGAGAUAUUUACUUCCGGCUAGGGGUAACCAUAAAGAAAUAUAGAAGAUUAACUUUGUUUUACUCUCUUUUUUUUUGCGCUGAGAAGUGGGAACUCUUUGGUGUAAAGUGAUAAGGCAUGUCGUGAAUUGGUUGAAAGCUAUGUGUUUCUUUGUUAUGUCUCUCUAGACAUUCCUCAUAACAAAAUAAUAGACUAAUCUAUAGAUUGUUUAUAAAAUUUCUGAAUAUUAAUAUUUUGCAUUACUAUAAUAAAAAUAAAUUUACAUAAAUGUAAUUCUAUAACUUUAAAGAAAAUAAAAACUAUUUUCACAUUAGAGAUCACACAGUAUAAUAUAAAACUAGGUGUUUUGCCCGCACAUGCGAGCAUAAUUUUCUCAUCAAUACUUAUUAGUUUAUAUCUUAUUAAUCUAAAACCAGCAUGAUAAGUUAUUAUUUAUGUUUUCAGAUAGUUAAAUCAAACAUCAAAGUAUUUAUAUAUGUCAAAUAUUUUAUCAAAAUAUAUACUUAUUAUUGUGUUAAAUUUUUUAAAACACUCAUAUCUUAGAAAUAGUUUAGAAAAUAUCUUUAUAUAAAUGUUUUUUUAAUAAGAGUUUUUUUAAAUCAAACAUAAGUCUGCCGUAUCGGUGUUACAAAAAAAAAAUCAUUAAUAGUGUCGUAGGAAUUAUGUAUUUCCCAUUAGCGAAUAAAAUUGAAGCAGAGUGUUGGAGGAUAGCUCAACGUAUAGGCGAGAUUAUGGAGAUUGAUAUGGGAGUUGACGUAACGGACACAACUGUUCCUCUGCAAAGAAACGCUCCUACUAGAUGGAGAUGUCAAGUUGAUGCAUCCUGGAUAAAUGAAAGAAACAUAUCUGGACUUGGCUUUGUGUUAAUGGAUGGUGACUUCCCAAUACUGUUUGUAUCAACGGCCGAUAUACACGCACCAAAUCACCACUGCAAGCGGAAGCUGAAGGUUUGCUAUGGGCAAUGCAAGAGAUACUGAAGUUUGGACGCAGAGUGAUGGUCUUUCAAUCGACUAUGAACAACUGGUUAUACUCAUUCAAAAGGAGGAAGAUUGGCCUGCGUUGGACUCGGAGCUCGACGAAAUACAAGUUGUAUCCAAAGAAUUUUCUGAAAUUUCUAUUGCUUAUAUUCCUAGAUCUUUAAAAUUCCGUACGAAUAGCCUAGCAAAAGGUGUCCGAUCACGCGCAUCACGAUCAGCUUUUGUAAACCCUUUUGCACCAAGUUGGCUAGCCCCACAAGCUAGCAUGAGGGUGCCAAAAAAGAGAAUAAAGUCGAAAGUAAAACUGAAUAUCCCAAUGAACAAAAUUAUCAGAAAUCCAUAUUUAUGUGGAUGUCUAUAUGGGACAAACAAUUUUUUUAGGCAAUUAUAGAAUAUAGUCACGAAAAUCAAUCCUAAAAUAUAUAAUUUAAAAAAACCAUUUAAACAAACCAUCAAAAUUUUGAAUAUUACACCAAAAAAAAAUAUAAAGACCAACUAUAUUCUCUUCAUGUAUAAUGUGUAGUGGUAAGAUUCAAAAAAAUUAACUUACUUUACAGUAAGGGAAAAUUAGAUUUUUUAUUCCAGAUUUACAGUAAAAACAUAACAUUUUAUAAAACUAAACAAUUGACAUAAUAGUACAAAAAUAUGAAAAAAAAAUCAAAAUACUAAGAACCUAGUAUUAGUUAAAUUAAGUACAGUCAAGUCAACUAGUAUGUGAAUGAGAUUUAACUUACAAAUUCCAUUACCGAGACAAUAGCACAUUUAGAAGAAUAACCAUGGUAGAAUUUGUAAGUUGCACACAAAAAAAAACCAACGGGUACAAAUGUUAACCGCUCCACCGGUCGAACCAUAAUCCAGACCGGUUUUGCUAUUUAAACCGCUCAAAUCGCAAAGUACGUUUCGCUUACUUCCAGCAAACCACCAUUGAUCUCUCCUCCAAUUCACAAAUCCAAUUUCUCUAGGGUUUGAUUUCUUCGACUUGAAUUGCAUUUCCAUCCGAAUUUCCCCAAAUUCGUCAAGCUGGAUAGGCACCGAGGGGAUCGCCACGAGAGUGGCGCUUACGACGAUUCCUACCGUAACCACCGAGCUCACCCUAGAGGUCCCCCUCGACUCUCAGAUUCACCCUCCAUGUCACGUUUCGGCGAGGAUGACGAAGGUUUCAGCCGCCGUCGUCGCCGUGGAAACAGCCCUAGCAAUUAUCAAGUUGGAAUUGGGGACAGAGGAGGUGGCGAUCGACGCUGGGAAGAUGACGGCCCCACGGAUCGUAAUUUUCACAGAGAAGGCGUUGGAGGAGGUUUCCGGCCGAUGAACGCUCCUCCAGGGAGAGUAGAUUUUCAGCCUAUGGGUUAUGGCUUCGACGGAGGUUUUCCGCCGAUGAGUCGCGACGGAGGAUUUCGGCCUAACGUGCCAGUGAAUUUUCCGCCAUCGGAAAGUCCAGAUGCAGGGGGAUAUUCCGGCGGCAGGGGAUUUCAAUCAACGGGGCCUGAUUACUCUGUGAGAUUGACUUCACCGCCGAUCCAGCAGCCUCUUUCUGGUCAGAAAAGAGGUCGUCCUCUCUCGGAGCAGAGUAGCUUUACUGGAACUGGUAAGCUUGGGCUCACUCUACUGUAAUCGAGUUGUUUAGAGUUAACAGUGGUUCAUUUAUACUUGUAUGUGAUAAUCAGAGCUAUUUCCAAACUAAAUUACCUUUACUGGAUCAUUCGUUUUGCAGAUUUUACUGAUCGUAGCAGUAUGGUGAAGCUUUUUGUUGGCUCUGUACCAAGGACAGCUACAGAAGAAGAAGUGAGUUCAUCUUUUUGAUUAUUUUCCUAAUUUCUUCUCAAUAUAUAUGCACUUUGUUGAGGCAAUCUAAACCACGAAGCUCGUAGACUCUGUUCAUAAGCCGUUCUUGUUUAUCAUUUUGGUUUUCAUAGGUCCGUCCCUUUUUCGAACAACACGGAAAUGUUCUUGAGGUUGCUUUUAUCAAGGACAAGAGAACAGGACAGCAGCAAGGUAUGUUUAUCUCCAUUUUACUAGGAAUCAGUCGUGAUUUAUGCUUCUAAAUUUUUCAGGUCUCCUGAAAAGGCUGAUGGGAAGCAACCCCAGUCUCAUCAUUGGCCUCCAUUAGUUUUCAACAAUUUUCGGGCUUUUGCUUAUGCUAGCGAGCGUCUUAUCUGUGUUCGUUUGGCACAGAAGAAGGCUGCCUGUUUAGUUUACUAAGAAAGGGUUUUUGUAUUGACCUUGGUAAAAUAGUUUUUGCGACUUGUGUCCAUCCUAGAACCUUAGUUGUGUUUGAACAGUGUAGCAGACUUUAUCAUGUUUUAGAGUUGGAGUUAAUGUACAUAAAAUUGAACAGAUGUUUUACUGUUGCCUUUUAGUUGGCACUGGUUUAAAGAACGUUGUUUUCUCCUUUCCUAUUGAAUUCAGUAUCUCUUUACUCUUCCUUUCGAUGAAUGAAAAUGGUGUAUAUGGUCUUGACUGGAUGAAUGUAUUUUUACUUGGUAGUCUUACAACGUUCAUAAAAUGGUUUGAUUGAUAAACCACCCCUGCUAGUCAAUAUUUGGCAGUUUCUUAGUGAUUAUAUCAUGUUGGAUGUUUUGUUUCUUUAGUUUCUUUAAUAUCAACUUUGGAUGUACCGUCUCUAUUGGUUGAUGAUGAAAUUAUUUUUUACCAUUUUGGAUGCUUGAUGCCUUAAUGAAUGAUCUUUCCUUUUUUUCUUAUUGUGGAUGGCCGAGGAACUAUAAUGAAUGUUCUCUUCGCUUUUUUUGAAUGGCCUGGGAUGUGGACUUCUUGUAUGUUCUCACUUUCAUUGAUGAAUGACUGUUUCGUUGAGUAGCUCUAUUGUUCUGUAUGGUAACGCUAACACUGCUGAUCUACAUUAUGUGGAAGAGAUCAUAUGUCUAAUGAUAUUUUUUUUCUAUGUACCUUUCACCAACCAAGCUCAAAAGCUUGGUUUCAGUUUUUAGUGGUCUUAUUCUAUAUAGAGCUUGGUUUCAGUUUUUAGUGGUCUUAUUCUAUAUAUUGAGAUUGCUCUUGAAAAAUUCCAUCAAAGUUCUGUCUUUAUGAUGCAAGUGUGAAGAAUUACUAGAUGAUGAGUGAUGUAUUAUUUAAUAAUUCGGGACUUUCCAAGAAGUUAUUGUACGGUGACAUAAAAGCUUUUACUCAUCCCGUUAUCACGGUUUGACUGUAGUAGAUUUGACACAUUCCUUGGUUUGAAAUGUUAGAUGGUGCUAAGAUAUGGAAGGCAACGAUUAUUAUAAUUUCUUAGAAAUACGUCUUAGCUUUCACUCGCUCUCAUUGCUUCGAUCAGCAUCAGGCAUGAGCCGCCUUAGUAUGUAUUUAAUGAAGCAAGUGUCAUUCUUCUCUAUAUGCAACUAUUACCAAUGAAUUGACGUUGGGUUGUGGUUAUGUCUCUCAGAACUGUAAUUCUUUUUGUGAAUGUCGUCAAAUGUGUGGUGUAUGUUGUAUGGUGUAUGGUGACGAAAAUGUGAUGUAUGGCUCUAGUUUUAAUUAUAUCAUUUGUUACUUAGCAGUGAUUGAGAACUCUUAACUUGUAAUUUUAUCUAAUUUUUUUUUGCAGUGAUUGGAUCUUUUUGCGUAAUAUAUAUUUUAUUUGCAAAUACCGACUGUGUUCUUUUUAAAUAGUUUAAAGGCAUAUGCUUUAUUUGAAGACAUUAGUUUAUUAUUCUCUCCAUCAAAUCUACUACAGUAAUCUAAGUCGAGGCUGUCAGGACAUGUCUUAUGAUUUUCGUACUGAAACUUAUGUGCUUUCAAUGUGGUCGUGGCUUGUACAUUUGUAAAGAAACUAUUUACUAGUAUCUCUUGAUGUUUGAUGGAGGGACAAGUGGAACCUUGAACAGAAGCUUAUGUAGCAGUCUUUAAUGCAGGCUGUUGUUUUGUAAAAUAUGCAACUUCUGAAGAUGCGGAUAGGGCCAUUAGAGCAUUGCACAAUCAGAUCACUCUUCCUGGGGUAACUACCAUUGAUGCCUUCUCUUAUCAAGGACAGGAAAAUACAGGUUAACUCAUCUUUUACAAUUUGCUGAUUCCCAGGGAACUGGCCUUGUUCAAGUUCGAUAUGCUGAUGGGGAGAGAGAACGCAUAGGUAAUCAACUUUCGCGCCAUAUUAUCUGAAUCUGGCCUUCAUUGUCUGGUAUACAUAGGGUGACCAUACGCUGUACAAAUUCAAAUUACGAGAAUUGAGAUAAUGUGGGAAACUAUAUGAAUCUUAAGGAAGUGGAUCCUUUUUUCUGUGGUCCUUGCCUCACUCUCAAGUAUUAACUGAUUGAAUUUACUUCUUCUGAAGGUGCGGUAGAGUUUAAGCUUUUUGUUGGUUCCUUAAACAAGCAAGCCACUGAAAACGAGGUUGAGGAGGUAUGUCUCAUAUCCUACUUUUUGAUGGAAAGUAAUUACUUAUGUCUGAUUUACAAAGAGGGAAGCGUUCUAAAUUUAGAUAUUACAGUAUCCCCUGUCGCCUUAGCUGGUAAUUUUAGUGAUUAUAUGACAAUUUAGUAGUCCUCUUGGAAGGGUCAGCGGCUUGAAAUUUUGUGUCAACUAUUCGAGCGCUUACACAUUUUACUAACUGAGUGAUCUCUUCUUUCAAAUGGACUGACUGAGUGAUCUCUUCUUCCAAAUGGAUGUAACUUUUUGGCUGUCAGCUUUCUUUUCUCAGUAAAUAUGAUGAAGAUGUGAACGGCUACUUUGUCCUGUUGUUGCUUUAACAGCUCUUUUUGCAAUUUGGUCGCGUGGAGGAUGUCUAUCUCAUGCGUGAUGAAUAUAGACAGAGUCGUGGUAUGUCUGGUAACUGCUACUAGAUUCUAUAAAUUGUUUGAUGGUGUUGAUAUGGUCAAACUGUUUUUGACACUCAUUUAGGAUGCGGGUUUGUUAAAUAUUCAAGCAAAGAGACGGCCAUGGCAGCUAUCGAUGGUCUCAAUGGAACUUAUACCAUGAGAGUAAGCUGUGAAUCACAUAAGUAUCUCACUUUCUCUCAUUAUCCCCUCUAGACCUGUUUUGUUUACUGGCCUCUUUCCCUUCUCCAGGGUUGCAAUCAGCCGUUGAUUGUUCGGUUUGCUGAUCCAAAGAGGCCUAAACCGGGCGAGUCAAGGUAUUGCCUUGGAGACUAUAUUUUGAAUUCAUUAUAAUGCUAAUAUCAAAAAAAUUGUGUCUACUGUCAUUGUUUGUUCUAUUGAGUUACAUUUAUGAGAAUCUUUUGGGGCAUGGGUGGAGGAGAGCUGCGAACCUUAUUCCUUCUCCAGUUAUUACUUGAAUGCGAUGAAUUUCUUUCUAUAUAUCCAUAACUAGUUUCUGUUUCCAGGGAAGUGGCACAUCCUGUUGGACUUUGUUCAGGGCCUCGUUUUCAAGCUUCAGGACCAAGGUGACUGGGGUGAAAGGAGAUCGUUGUUUUUGUCAUCAAUUAAUUAUAUAUUUUGACUAAACCUGGUCUCCUUAUCUUCAUUUGUUAGGCCUACAUCUAACCUUGGUGACCUUAGUGUGGAUGUGAGCCACACAAAUCCUUGGCGUCCUAUGAAUUCACCAAACAUGGGGCCACCUGGUAACACUGGGAUCCGUGGUACCGGAAGUGACUUGGCUCCUAGGCCAGGUCAAGCCACAUUACCUUCAAAUCAGGUAAGAACAGCUUGAUGAUCAUGUAUAUUAUCUUAUAUGUACACACCCAAUCACACAUAAAGUAAUCGGGCAUAAGGUUUUACAUGUAUUGUGUGAGUAGGACGAACAUAAUUUAUAUGCUGCACAUAUAUGAGCGUAUGGACUCUUGAAAAGAAGCAUGAAGUUCCGACCUUCCAGCUUUUCAUAUGAUGCAGCAAACUUGAUGUGUUUUGCAUUGAAAUGAUAUGGCUUUGAUUUGCAUUUUGUCAGUUUCUAAGGAGUUUUUUUCUUCAAUAAUUUCUACUUCUGAUGUUAGCUUUAUUUGUGGCAUUCUAUAAUGUUAGGGAGGUCCAUUGGGUGGUUAUGUUGUUCCUGCCAUUAACCCUCUACCAGUCUCAUCCUCUGCCACAUCGCAACAGGUACUUCAGCUGAAUUUUUCCAAUAAAGAAAAUCUGAAAAUGUUGUGUUGAUCAGUUAAUUUCAACUGUUUCUAUUCCAUAGCAAAACCGGGGAGCUGGCCAGCAUAUGUCACCAUUACAAAAACCUCUUCACAGUCCACAGGAUGUGCCCCUUCGACCACAAACUAAUUUCCCUGGGGCCCAAGCAUCCUUGCAGAAUCCUUAUGGUUAUAGCAGCCAGUUGCCUACUUCUCAGCUGCGGCCACAACAAAACGUCACUCCUGCAACAGCUCCUCAAGCUCCUUUGAACAUCAACCUACGGCCAACACCUGUAUCUUCUGCAACUGAUCAAUUGCGCCCUCGUGCUCAGCAGCCACCGCCACAAAAGAUGCAACAUCCUCCUUCUGAGCUAGUUCAGCUCUUGUCACAACAGACUCAGACUCUACAAGCAACCUUCCAAUCAUCUCAGCAAGCAUUUUCUCAACUGCAGCAGCAGGUGCAGUCCAUGCAGCAACCAAACCAAAAAUUACCAGGCUCACAGACUGGCCAUGGUAAACAGCAGGUACAAACAUAGUUCCCUGUUGCAUCUGUCCAGUCCAGUUCCUCAGCUGUUUUUGUUGUUUUAACUUACAAUUAUUUCCUGAUGUCUAAGUAUUCAAUCCUUCAUAUAUUUUAGUAGUCCCUCUUUUUUAUUAUGUUUUUCUCGGUUGCUUCUCUAUCAGUGGGCUGGAUCUGCAAUUCCGACAGUUGUUAGCACCACUGCUUCUACACCAGUUAGCUAUAUGCAAACAGCUGCACCUGCAGCAACUCAGAGUGUUGUUUCUCGCAAAUGUAACUGGACCGAGCAUACCUCGCCUGAUGGAUUUAAGUAUUAUUACAACGGUCAAACCGGUGAAAGCAAGGUGAGAAACGUGGUUCCUCUUUAGUUAUGUUCUCUUGUGAGUUUCAGGAGGAUUCCUUGUAUUUGCUGUGCUAUUUAUUAUCCUUGAACAUGUAUAUGUAUAGAUUUCAUAUUUGAAGUUCAUCAAUACGUGUCGUAAUAUAAUUGACUUUUGCAGUGGGAAAAACCUGAGGAAAUGGUAUUGUUCGAACGUCAGCAACAGCAGCCAACUAUAAAUCAGCCCCAGACCCAAUCACAGCAGGCUCUUUAUUCCCAGCCGAUGCAGCAACAACCACAACAGGUUCACCAGCAAUAUCAGGGCCAAUAUGUACAGCAGCCUAUUUAUUCUUCAGUGGUUGGUUCUGUUUUCUUGCUGCUUACAUCCAUAUAGUUUUCUCACAUGGUCUCUAACUUGAAUAUGUAUUCUUUUCCAUUUGGAGUUGCAGUAUCCAACUCCAGGGGUCAGCCAGAAUGCUCAGGUGUAUAUUUAGUUAAAUUAUUUGCUUAUCUUUCAUUUCAGAAUUUGAUCAUUGAGUUACCAAUCUAGUGGUAUAAGGAGACGGGCCACUUUAUGCAAUAAACCAUGGUUUUACAAGCGUUUUGAAUAUACAGAUACAAACAUCUAAAUUUGAUCAUUUCAAAAUUUGAUCAUCGAGUUCCCUUUUCAAUGCAGUAUCCGCCGCCAUUGGGAGUUAGUCAAAAUAGCCAGGUACAUAUUUGAACCUUAUUUCACGUGGGACUAAUUGAAAUUCGAUUUUGAUAUGCAUUUCAUAAAUGUGAAGAUUUGAUGAGUGGUCGUUUUGGUAGCGUUUUAGAAAACGAUAUGCAUAUAUUCUCUAGUUGAAUAUUUCUUUUUUCUGGAACAUGCAGUUUCCUAUGUCAGGCACCGGUCAAAAUGCUCAGGUACAUAUUAUAUCAUGCAUCAUAUCUUCUGAUUAACUUCAAAUUUAAUCAGAAAACAUACGUGAGAUUCCAGUAGAAACAAAAUCGAUAUGACUGUAUUGGUUGGAAAUGGUUAAGGCAGAGCUCAUGUUCUAAUGUGUUAAAAUUUUCUAGGAAUUUGGGCGGACAGAUACACCAGUGGGGGUUGCUUCCAUCAAUAAUCCGUCACGAACUCAACAGGUUGCUAUCGUUUUUAUUCAAUGAUCCUAAACUUCUCACUGUUCAUAAUUCUUCCUUUGACAUCACAUGCACUGUUUGUGAGGUUGCAUCACAUUCUCCCUUACCGAAAACAUCCCCAUCUUUAUGAGUUUCCUUUAUUUUGAGGUUGCAUCUAAUUCCCUGUGUUGAUACUGCGCAGGUACAUGAAAGGAGGAGCUGAAAUCUUUCAGUAACUAGACAUAGAAAGGUGUGGAACUAAUUAUUAGUCAAGCAGAGGAAAAGCAGCAACGGCAGUGUUCUUGGUCUCUGAGUUUUAGUUUACCCCUUCAGGUAUAAUAGAUAGGCAAUUCGCCUACCUGCUGAAUUCUAUCUUUUCUCUAAUCAGAGAUUUCUUCUUCUUUUUUAUUCCUAGAGUUGACAAUCAACACGUCUGUUGUAACAUAGAUAGCGCAAGUCAUGUCACAUGUAGUGUUAGUAUUAGUAUACAUUUAACUGGUAAAACAGAACUUUGAUCCAAACUUGGUAAGAGUAAUAUAAAUGCAUAUUCAGAUAUCAUCUUUAAACCAAUAAGCACGGUUUGAGAUUUCAUCUUAAUUGCUCUUUUUUUUUUUUUUUCCCAAAUUAUUUUAUUAUUAAUAGAGUUUUUAAAACCCAACAAAGACCCAAGCUCAUCCAUACAAACAACCCACACCCAAGCCCGAUUCUAGUGGGCCACUAUUACAACCUUAACCCGUCGGCGGCCCAAACCCAACUCGCUUGAUUUCUGUCGGACUGCGCAUCAAGGAAACCGGACGCGUGGAAGGAUAAGGACCCAUCAGCACGCCACGCGCCACUUCCGUCUCGACUUGACCGCCACCGUGUCGAAGAAUCGCCGGAGUUUCACCACCCCCGCCCUCGAAGCCAGAGACACCAAAGGGUCACCCCCGAGACCUCUUCUUCUCUUCACCGCUUUGUCUAACCUUCGGAGAGCCUCAUCGAUCCAAUCGAGAGCUCAUCCGACAGAUCACACCGCGGACCACUUCGAACGAAGAGCCAAACCACACACUCAAAACACCACCAGGACCAGAACCGAUCAAACUAACUGAAGCAAACUAAGGCGGGCGAAGCAAGACUGUGAAAGCCUUCACCCCCCAGAGACUAGAACCGACUACGGCGAAGCUGAGGAAGCUUCCACCUCGCGGCGACAAGAACCGGCGGCGGCGAAGCUGUGGAAGCCUCCACCUCCCGGAAACAGAACCCAAACAACUAUCAUCUUCACCGCGCCAACCCUCCAAGCAACCGCGUCUUCACUCCAAGAACAGAACCACCGCGGAAGGUGUUUGGCCAGAGGUCAGACAAGGCGGCCACUGAAAGAGACGAGGAGAAGAGAACUCCGGACCAAUUAAACUGAAGGAUGAUGGACUCCGGCAUCGGCACGCACGCUCACGCGCCGGCCGAACGCCGAAACCACCACAGAUCUACUUUCUCUCUCUUUUCGUUCUCUGUGUCUUUCUUCUUGUACUAUUCUAAACUUUCAUCUUCAUCUUAAUUGUUCCUAUCUAUAAGUUUAUUCGAUAAAUCAAAAUUAUGGUACAAUUAUAAAAUUUAUGGGUUUCAACAUAAAAACAAACAAAAUUCAAUAGAAUAUUAAAAUAACUAGGUUUUAUAAAGGCAAUUGCAAAUGGCCAAUUCUCUCAAAUAGUUUUUUUUUUAAGUUUUUGUUACAAAAAUAGUCUUUAAGGAAGAAAAUGAUCAAAAUAGCUCUUCUUUAUUUUCAAUAUUUUAAUAUUUAUUUUUUGUUUUUUAAAAUUUGAAACCCUAUCUCCAAAAUCGUACCAUUUAAUUAUAAACCCUAAGUCUAAAUUAGUUAACCUUACCCUUUAAUAAAAAAAAUUUUAGUCAUUUUUUUAUUGAACACUAUUUUUGUAACAAAAACUUAAAAAUGACUAUCAUAGGAAAUUUCUCAUUGCAAAUAUUAAUUUUAAUAAUAUCAUAAGUUAAUGCAUAUGCAACCUAAAUAAUUUAUAUAACAAUGAAAUAUGACUAAUACACUCUUUGUUUUCUUAAUGUUGAUUCGAUAUAACAAAAAAAUAGUGAUGUCAUGUUUCCAUUGCUCUUUGUCAUUAGAAGUUUUUUUUUUUUUUUUUUUUGUUUUUUUGGUAAAAUUGUCAUUAGAAAUUCCACAGCUUUUUACUAAAAAUACAAACAAUUUUGUUUUCUUGUAUCAAUUCAAUUUGGACAUAAGAUUGAAGAAUCGAUGAGACAGGAGUUAAGAGAUGUCUUGGGAAUACAAAAUUUGGGAGGAAUGGGAUCUUAUUUAGGAUUACCGAAAAAUCUUGGCGUUUCUAAGAUUCAAAUUUUUGGUUUUGUUCAUGAUCGCUUAUAUAAUAGGGUAAAUGGAUGGACUUUUAAAUUUUUCACAAAAGGAGGAAAGGAGGUGAUCAUCAAAUCAGUGAUUACGGCAUUGCCGAACCAUACGAUGUCUUGUUACCGAUUACCUAAGGCCACCGCAAAAAAAUUAACGAGUGCAGUAGCCAAAUUUUGGUGGAGUCCUGGAGGUAGUACAAGAGGACUACAUUGGAAAUCUUGGGAUAAGGUAUGUGUCAGCAAGGAAGAAGGGGGAUUAGGUUUUAAGGAUAUAACCGAUUUCAAUACAGCAAUGCUUGGUAAGCAGUUAUGGAGGCUAAUAGAAAAGCCACACACGUUAUUUUCCCGGGUUUUUAAGGGUAGGUAUUUUAGGAAUGCCUCACCACUUGAACCGGUUCGAUCAUACUCUCCGUCAUACGGCUGGAGGAGUAUUGUCUCUGCUAGAUCUCUGGUAAGCAAAGGACUAAUCAAAAGGGUGGGAACAUGAUCUUCUAUAUCUGUAUGGAAUGACCCGUGGCUACCAACCACUCGCCCGAGACCAGCCAAUAAAAAUCAACACAAUUUGUUUCCCGACCUUACAGUGGACUCCCUUAUUGAUUCCACUUCGCGAAGAUGGAAUUCGCAGGUUCUUCGGACUUUGGUGGAUCCACAGGAUGUGAAAAUCAUAGAAAGUAUACCUUUGAGUAGACACCAGAUGGCAGAUAGUGGUGGAUGGCAUUUCACAAAUAAUGGAAACUUUUCGGUUAAAUCAGGAUAUCAAGUGGAGAGAAUUUACCCGGAUAGGGAGAGAAUACCGUUAUUCAUUGGUCCUACGGUUGAUGUUCUAAAGGCUUUUUGUUGGAAAAUACGGUGCCCACCAAAGAUAAAACAUUUUCUUUGGCAAUUGAUCUCAGGAUGUAUAGCAGUCAAGAAGAAUUUGCAGGCACGAGGGAUGCAAGGGGAGAUAUGCUGUGCAAGAUGUGGAGCAGAGGAGGAAUCGAUUAACCAUGUGUUUUUUGAGUGCCCUCCAGCUAUUCAGGUGUGGGCUCUGUCAAAGAUUCCAACAAAUCGAGCUAUUUUUCCGACAGACUCUUUAUUUACAAAUAUGGAUCAUCUAUUCUGGAGAGUCGCUCCACCGAUGGAAGAUCAUCAAUUUGCUUGGAUACUUUGGUACAUUUGGAAAGGAAGAAAUAAUAAGGUUUUUAGUAAUCUGGAGAUAGAUCCUAGGGAUACUCUUAAAUUGGCUGAGACAUGCAACACUCAAUUUUAAAUGUUUUCAUGAAGUUGAACGGGCAAAUCUCCAAAGCAGCACAUUUCUAAGUUUAUGUCACAAAAAUAGCCCUCAAAAACUAAAAUGACCAAAAUAGUAUUUCAUCUUUUGAAAAAUUUAAUUUUUUUUUAUUUUUCAAAAUUUGAAAUCUUAUCCCAAAACCCCACUCUCUAACUCUGAACCCUAAAACCUAAACUCUAAACCUUAAACCCUAAACUCUAAAUCCUUAACCCUAAAUCCUAAACCCUAAACCCUAAACCCCACUCCCCAACUCUAAACCCUAAACCCCACUCCCCAACUCUAAACCCUAAACCCUAAACUCUAAACCCUAAACCCUAAACCCUAAACCCUAAAUGCUAAAAU
This 49168-nucleotide long non-coding RNA is filed under the name Brassica napus (rape). RNAcentral describes it as "long non-coding RNA (BNAP_LNC009718)". The record is from RNAcentral. Lineage: Eukaryota; Viridiplantae; Streptophyta; Magnoliopsida; Brassicales; Brassicaceae.